This 44840-nucleotide long non-coding RNA is filed under the name Triticum aestivum (bread wheat). RNAcentral's name for it is "long non-coding RNA (TAES_LNC005564)". Lineage: Eukaryota; Viridiplantae; Streptophyta; Magnoliopsida; Poales; Poaceae. The record is from RNAcentral.
UUAUUUUGGUACCAUAGUCGGACCAUGAGUGUAUUGGAUGAUUGUAAUGUUAUUCAUGUAUUUGUGUGACGUGGCGAGUGUAAGCCAACUAUGUACAUUUUCCCCUUUUAUCUAUUUACAUGGGUUGUUGUGAAGAUUACCUUACUUGCGACAUUGCUUUCAAUGCGAUUAUGCCUCUAAGUCGUGCUUCGACACGUAGGAGAUAUAGCCGCAUCGAGGGCGUUACAAUGAACCCUUCAGCACUUCUUCGGCACGAUGCACAGAGGAAUGUGGAAGUUAUUUUUCGGGACACGAAAAUAGUGGCCGGACACUACCGAGGACAUCGGCCUUGACUGCAACCAUCCGGAUACCUUGGUAAGCGCUUGACUCCCGAACACAGCUUAACCAAAUAUCCCGUGAUAAGAUACUGAGAAAACCAUCUUUUUCCAGGGCUGGACGAAGAAGGCGGAGCGAGUUAGGUGUUCGCCCCCUCUUCCCGAAGACUUAGCUAGUCCUGUGCUAACAAGGAUGCUGGUCCCGGCACCAUUCCAGGUGCCGGUGAAGGAGGACAAUGAGGAGAGCAGGAAGGCCAAAGGUGGCCUCCAUUCUGAAGGUACACCAAACACUAUGUCCGGGGAGAUUAAAGUUCCCUUUUCCGAAGAUAAAAGAGAAGGAGAAGCUGACAUCCUUUCUCACCAUGGUAAGAAAAGGGCCGCCUCCGAAGGUUGGGAGGUAAAGGCUCCUAAGAAGGUAAAACACUCCUAUCAGGCGGUUCGGCCUCGGAAGACGACGUUGUCGCACACUUCAUCCGUAAGGACGAGCCUUUAGCCGAAUCGUAAGUGAACAAGGGUGUUUUUAAACAUAUCCUGUUCCUUUUCCUGUUACAAGGGCAACAUCUAGAAUACAUGUUUUUGUAGUCCGGCACACAGUCUUCCUCAACAAUCCUCUUCGGGGGAUCUUCUUCCAGAGAUGAUGGAAAGCGAGACGCCUCCACCAGAUUCCUCGCCCAAUAGGGCGGACGACUUCGAGGUGCCGUCCCGGAGGAUCUCUCUCGAUCAACAAGUGGUGCAGAGGAUAAUGAAGACAACGCCCCAAGGUGAAACUUCGGUCGCCCAGGGUUCGGGGAGUGUGGUCCCUAUGGGUACCAACAAUAAAGGCCCCGGACUAUCUGGUUUACAGCCGGAGAUGACUCUAGGGUCGGGGAAACAUAUCCCUUCAAAGGGAGUCCAUACUCCCACAGCUACUUCCCAGGGUCCAGAGGCGCCAUUUACAUUGAUGGACAUGUUGCGAUAUUCAUCUGUCUCAGAGAAACAUCAUACCUAGAUGGGUACGGUGGUUGAGAGGAUUAUGUCCGCAAAAAGCGGAUUGAAUGAAGCUUUCACAGGCCUGCUAAGAGGCUUCGAGGUACGUAAUGUAAUAUUUUCAAUUGUGCUCUAUACGCAAAGUGCCCCUGUGUAUAGAUAGUAGCCCCUGAGACUCUAGUUGACGUCCCAAGGGAGGCAAUCAGAGGAUUGAAAAAACUAUCCCAAGAAAUAAUAUAAUUAAUUAGAACACAGGCUAUUACAUCCACUCGACUGCCCACGCUACAGAGGUUGCAGGUCUGGAGCAGAAACUUGCCGUGGCGAAUGACGACAUGAUGCUUAUUAACAGGUGGCUUGAUGAGGCGCAAGGUAUGUUUUCAGGCGGUCAGUGUAUGUAUGUAUGAUAACAUGAGCACGAAGCUAAGAAUUAUAUACUGAGACAUGCAUAACUGCAGAUAGUGCUGCCACGGCGGAGGCCCUUCGGGCUAAAGUUGCCCGAGCCAAGGAGCAAGCCCGGAUGAGUAAUGUGGCUGCCAAGAAGGCAGUUGAUGAGUUAAAAGCCGAACAGGCUGCUCGGCGCCAGUGCAAGGAGAUAAUGUCUAACAUGGCUCGCGAGCUAAAGGAAGCCAUUGUCCGGUGCAAGUUCCUCAAGAGGGAUAACAAAGCCAAAACGGCCAAUCUCGACACGCUUUGCAUGAGGCGAGUGAAGCACGAUCCGAGUCUAGGGCGGCUCGGGAGGAGAUCCGGCGAGCUGGGGAGAUAGCGGCCGGUAAGCCCUUCUUAUUACAGACUAAAUUCGGCGAUCCAAAAUAUGCCCCACUUAAUCAAAUGUGGAGCUCUCCAGAUGCAUUCUUGGACUUGCCGAAGAGCGCCUACGAUGCAGCGCAAUUUUACCAAGCGCGAGAAGGGUAUCCAACGGAGAAUCUUUUCUGGACACAAUUCGGCACGCCAAAGCGCCCGCUGUUGCUGAACGAACAGAUGGCCCAGUGGGCCGAGCUCCACAAGAUAUCUGGUUCUACCAUGAAGGACGUAGUGGUCCGGCUGUGGCUGACUGAGCCAAUUCCGAAUAGUUAUUUCUGUUUGGUGCAACGACUUAUGGAUGUGGUGUCGCGUAUCGACGCCGUGAAGCGACCGACGUGCAUUGAAAGUGCACGGAUGGCCUUUGCCCGUGUCAAGACAUAUUGGGCGAAGAUGAAGGCCACUGAUAUUGCAGCGAAGAGUCCACCCGGGGGCAAGGACAAACACACGCCGGAGCAUUAUUUUGAAGAUGUCCUAGAGGGCGCCCGCUUAAUAGAGGUUUAGUGCUCAAAGGAUAUGAUCUUCGGGUGAAUGUGCUGAAAUUGUAGAAACGAUAUUAUGAUAUUUUAAGGGUAUGCCUAAAAGUUUUGGCUCCUCCUGUGUGGCCGUUUUUGUAUAAUCUAAAAGUUUUCCAGUCGUCGGCUUCAGCCCCCUCGCAUAAAAUACGGGGGUGUUCAGAAAAGGACUUGAUCACUCUUGACCCAACAUCUUGGUCCAUGAAGGAGGUGUCAAUGCGGUGAACAAGGCAAUCAGACUAUUGGGCUUUAACACUUUCACUUAGCCAUAGGAGUUUUACGGUGGGUCUACGAUAUAGCCCCUGGUAUGGACGCAGCUAUCCGAAUACAGUGUGUUACAUAGGUGACUGGAGUAAUGGUACUUCGUGUAAUAUGGGAGGAAUCGUGAAAGAUUAUGAUAAGUCAUCGAGUGGUUGACCAACUCUCGCCGCAUCAUGACAGUCAAUUUUCGGCUUUCUCUAGUAAGGUGCUCAUCUGGAUAAACCAGGACACAAUCACAGUAGUUCUCCCUUUACUACCCUAGCCGAUAGAGUGGAACGUAAGGUAGUAAGCACAGGAGAAGGGCAACCAAACUAUUGACCAAAGACAUGAUUCGGAGCUAAUCCAUAUAAGGUCGAACUCGUGACGCCGAAGUGUGCUAUAAAGCUGUUCAUACUUGCCGGCAAUUUAUUUGUUCCCAUAUUGAGCCCCUGGCAAUUUGUGUCGAGGUGCGUGUGUGAAACAACCGAAGAAGCAAAAUUCAGUUAUUUCAGAAAAAGGGAAUACUGAAUACGGAUUAUGUUCACUGGAACGUGAUUGAUAUGUCAAUUGCCAUUUUACAGAUAAUAACGCCAUGACCCAGGCUAUUUGACAUGCCGGUGGUCGAAGGCUGAGGGAGAAGGCACUUUACAGGCUCUAAAUAGAGAAUGCGGUCUACUAAGAAUUACUUGGACCUCCUGUCGCACGUCUGCGCCGCCUUGCCUCGGUGAAAGGACUCCUUAACAGGAAUAGCCUUUGGGUAGGUGAACAAAGCCGAACUCCAAAAGGGUUCGUGAGAUGACCAGUCUUUGAGCCACCUGUGGUAAAAGAUAAAAAAAUAGUUAGAAAAGAAAAGAAAAGGAAGCUAUGGGAGAGCUUGUAGGCAUGUCCAUAUUGUGCAUUUGCCGAUGACCAGGGUAUUCUAAGUACAUCAUUAUGUAAGCGCGGUACGAACUUCGCGGGUAUAUGAGGCGAACGACGGAGGCCGAACUGCUAAUCCAGCUCUAAGAUUGAUCAACCCCAUUUAAUAGAGGCCGGCGGCUUAAUGGUCGAUGAGAUAUGUGGCUUGAUGAGGCCGCUUGGUACUUCGGCUGUGGUAGCCGUAGUAUGACCCUCCGUAUGGAGGGAGUGUUCCGUAUUUCCAUUUAUUGUUAUGACGCCCCGUGACCGGGCAUCUUAAGUUUUGCACGGGCGUAGAGUGGGACCACAUUAAAAUGAGCAAAAGCGGUACGCCCCAGAAGUGCAUGGUAGCUACUGCGGAACGGGACAAUAUCAAAGGUCAAGCCUUCACUUCGGAAGUUGUUCGGCGAACCUAAAAUGACUUCCAAUGUGACGGAGCCCCUACAGUGAGCUUCUACGCCGAGUACUGCUCCCUUGGGGGUGGUUGUGGUGGGCUUGAUUCUUGAAGGAUCGAUGCCCAUUUUGCGGAUAGUGUCUUGGUAGAGUGGAUUAAGGCUACUGCCGCCAUCCGUAAGGACUUUUGUGAGAUGGAACCCAUCGAUAAUUGGAUCAAUGAUCAGAGCCACCGAACCAUCGGGACGGAUAUGGCAAAAAAAUUGGCAGGGGGGGACGACUCUAUGGCGUAUGCGUCCCAUAGUGCGUGCCUGCGCUCCCCUCUAGGGGUGUGCGUCACGUAUACCAUGUUUAUGGUUUUUACUUCGGGGGGAAAUUGUUUCUGACCCCCGUAUUCGGCUGGCGAGUCUCUUCGUCAUCGCUGUCACUGGGUGGCCCUUCCCCUUGUGUUCAGCAUUAAGCUUGCCAGCUUGUUUGAAGACCCAACAACUUCUGUUGGUGUGAGUAGCUGGUUUAUCGGGGUUGCCAUGAAUCUGGCAGGGCCGAUCUAGUAUUAUGUCUAAAUUGGAUGGUCAGUCUCUAUUUGCCUUGAAUGGCUUUUUCCAUUGACCGGGUUUGGAGCCGCUGAAUCCGGAGUUGACCGCCAUGUCUUGUGUUCUUUCGUUAUGAUUGCGACGUUUGUGUUUAUUGCGUCGUGGCUUGCCGUCGCCGUCUCGGACUUUGGAAGUGCCUGGAUCGCUGGCACUGUUGCUUCUACGAGCGAGCCAGCUAUCUUCUCCCACGCAAAAGCGGGUAAUUGGAGCGGUAAGGGCUGCCAUGGAUUUUUGUUUUUCUUGACCGAGGUGGCGCGCGAACCACUCAUCCCGGACGCUGUGUUUGAAGGCCACGAGGGUUUUUGCGUCCGGACAAUCGACAAUUUGGUUCUUUUUAAUUAGGAAUUUAGUUCAGAGCUUCCUGGAUGAUUCUCCGGGAUGUUGGAUGAUGUGACUUAAGUCAUCGGCAUCUGGUGGCCGGGCAUAUGUACCUUGGAAAUUAUGCGAAAGGCGUCUUCCAGGUCUUCCCAACUGCCAAUGAAGUUCUCUGGGAGACUGUUUAGCCAGUGCCGCGCUGGUCCCUUUAGUUUUAAUGGGAGGUAUUUUAUGGCAUGGAGAUCAUCACCGCGGGCCAUGUGGAUAUGGAGAAGAAAAUCUUCAAUCCAUGCUGCCGGAUCUGUUGUUCCAUCGUAUGAUUCGAUAUUCAUGAAUUUAAACCCUUCUGGGAAUUCGUGCUCCAUUACUUCAUCAGUGAAGCAAAGAGGGUGUGUGGCGCCUCUAUAUUGGGCCACAUCACGACAUAGCUCAAAUGGAGUCUGUCUGCGGCCUUUGGCUCGUGCAUGAUUAGGCUUGUCACGUCCGAAUAGAUAGUCGUCACCGCGUGUCGGGGCACACCCCCGCGAUCCGUAGAUCGGUCUGGUAUGUCCUGCUCUACUGUCCAGGUUCUGCCGAAGGUCAUAUGUAUAUGCCCGAGCUGUUUUAUCCCUGCCUUUAUAGUGAGGUAGUACGGGCUGGUAUUCGGCUUGAGUUGCCGCUUUGUCCCGGCCACGUGGUGGUCGGUCAGCCGCAUUGUGCGAUGAUGGCACGGGCUCCAGCCCUCGUCAUCGAAUUGAGGUAAUAAUUUGCACUUCGGGUAACUUUUGAGUGGUCCCUCGGGGCUGUAUUCCUCGGCUGUUAGGACAUUAGUCCAUCUAUCACUGAGCAGAUCUUGAUCAGCUUGAAGCUGCUGUUGCUUCUUUUUCAGGCUCCUUGUAGUGGCUAUUAGCUGGUGCUCAAAGCGCUCCUGUUCAAGAGGUCCCUCAGGCACGAUAAAGUCCUUGUCGUGGAAUUGUCACGACAGAUGUCCUAGUGAAAGGACUUAGUGGAGCCAUCGCAGCUACGAAGAUUAAAGGGGUUAAACAGGACAAAGGACACGAGAAGUUUAUGCUGGUUCGGCCCCUUGCGGUGAAGGUAAAGGCCUAGUCCAGUUGAGGUGAUAUUGCUAUGUUUCGAUGACCAAGGAGCGAAUACGCUUAACCUGGCUCUCGAUCUGUUGUUUCUUACCCUAAGCCGCCGCCUGGUCGACCCCUCAUAUACACGGGUUGACACCCUGUGGCCUACAGAGUCUCGGCCGGCUCAUACAACGUGUCCGGCUCGGUGACGUAUCUUACAUGCCUUACAUUACAAGUCUAUUCAUACAUGGCGGUUUAUACUUACGGGCCCUAAGCCGCCCCUAGGCCUGGGCCUAUCAUAAGCCUAACUGUGAACCGCCACCUUGUAUACUCUUGGGCUUCAUACAGGUGAACCCUCAUUGUGGUUGACCCGGCGCCUUCUGGGCGGGUCAUAUCUGAUAGAAAUAUCCCCAACAUUAGGCCCCAGGUUGAUUUGAACUUUGUUCAUGUCAAUCUUCAAUACUUAGAAAAAAUCCAUCUACAACUGCUAUGAAAACCUUGUAACCCGCCAUGACGUCAUCUCCAAGAAUUUUGGAAACCCACCAUGACAUCAUCUUAACGGAUCUUUGUCUUAAAUAUCUUUCCGAAAAUCAAGGCGUCCAAUUAGAUGGAUAAUCAUCAUUUUUGCCUCCUCGUCUUUCGCGCCUGCCCAUCGCCCCUUUCCUUAUAACUAGGAUCCGAAGCCAUCUCACAUUUUUCUCCUUCUUCCUUCUCUCGCAACCCCUCUGCCGCUCGAGCUCCACCGCCGCCGCGGAGCACUUCGUCUUCCUCAACCUCGGUCACUGCAUCAGCCUGAGUCGAUCGAGAUAACGACGGCGACCCUCCACAGCAGAUCGAUAGUUGUAAGUUUCUGCCUUUUCAUGCCUUAGAUCCACACUAGGGUUUGCGAGCUUCUUCGUGUUCUUCGUAGUUUGUCGGAGUUCGUCGUAGUUCACCCUCCAGGCCAUACCACGAGCCUCUUUGAUCUGAGAACGGCGUUAAACUGAUGUGGUAGCUAUUUUAGUUCCACUUUCAGUAUCACUAGAUCCCCUUUCUUGGAAGAAAAAAUCUUGUGCAAGCUCAUGAACUCAUAUGUACUGACUUUUAGGUCUAGAUUUAUUUUUCUUUUCUGAACAGCCAUUGAUCCAAAAUAAUAGCUGCAGUCUAUGAAAUUUGUUUACCUCAGUACUUAACCAAUUUUUUGUUGCUAGCAACUUUUGAAUAUCCUUAGUCAUGGCGGCUUACCAUGUCGGCUUAUUUUUCCUACAUAUAUCAUUAGCCCUUAGUUAAGCCGCCAUUACACAUAUGUAUUGCAAUCAUUAACUUCUAAUUCCACCAAUUAAUCUGAACCGGCAAAUUACUUCCUUUUUAGCUUGUCUUUUCGCCAUGCCGCCAAAGACGAUGAUAGGUUGCAACUGGGUCCCUUCCACAGUCGGUGAGGACACUCUGAAGGAUUUUUUCACUGUUGGGUAUUUACCAAAGAAGAGCGUCAUGUCUUACCGUGCCCCUGACCCAGUUGAAGAAAAACCUCAGCCAAAGGAUGGUGAAAUCAUCGUCUUCACUGAUCAAAUGAACUGGGGUUUUUCGCCGCCCGGCUCAAAAUUCUUCAGAGAGGUUCUGCAUUUUUUCAAGCUUCAUCCGCAAGACUUUGGAACCAAUUCCAUAUCAAACAUAUGUAACUUCCAAGUUCUCUGCGAGGUUUAUCUUCAAGAAGAACCUACUAUUGAACUCUUCAAAGAGUAUUUCUAUUUGAACCGCCAGAAUGAAUACACCAACGGCCCCAACUUGGAACUUGGUGGGAUUUCGAUUCAGCGCAGAUGGGAUGUUGUCUUUCCUCUAGUAGUAUUGCCAAGCCAUCCCAAGUAUUGGAACCAAACUUGGUUCUAUUGCAAAGACACGUCGCCAGUUGAUGAAAAACCAAUGUUGGGUUAUCGUGCUGAGCUUAUUGACGCUAAAUAUUCACUCCCUGAUAAGCUUUCGGGUGCUGAAAAUAAGAAACUUAUCCCAACCAUCAAAAGGGUUCAAGCCUUGCUAGGAAAUGGCUUAACUAGAGUUGACUUGUGUCGGAUGUGGGGUUCCAGCAAACCCUUAAGGUUCGAACACUGGGGUGCGCACGAAGUCUCUUCCUCCCACCGAUCUACGCCCUAGCUCGCUAAGAUCUCGUGGACGAACUCGACGAACUCGCAACACAGGAAGACACAGGAUUUAUACUGGUUCAGGCCACCGUUGUGGUGUAACACCCUACUCCAGUGUGGUGGUGGUGGAUUGCCUCUUGGGCUGAUGAUGAACAAUACAAGGGGAAGAACAGCCUCCUGAGGUUGAGGUGUUCUUGUGCGUGGCUAACUUGUGUGGGUGAGAGAGCGAUCUAAGAUGCCGACCCCCCGCCCCCGAUGGUGGCCAGUCCUACUUCUAGAGGCCCUGAUCCUCUUCCCAAAUAUUGAACGGGAAGGGAGCCAACAACGGCGGGCUAAUUUGAAGGGGGCAGCUAGUACAAGCCAUCUAACAAAAGGUGGUCUGCGCCUGCGAAAGGCUCUGGUGGUGACGCCGUCUUGGGCUCCACGAUGACCUCCGUCUUGCCGUCCUUCUGGUCUUUGUCUUGUUGCACCAAAAUGGCAACAUUUGCCUGAUGCCUCGGUACUCCUCGCCUGCGCUAGUUUCCUUAGCACCAAAGAGGAAACAAGGACGCUGCGCGCGCUGGCGCCCGCCUGGUGUCGAUCGUCAUGGCUCAUGUCACGAGAGCCUCCUGAGGUUCGCCUCGCCUUGAUAUAUCCGCUCCUCGUGAGCCCGCCUGACUAGGCCGCUCCAGAGGAGGUCUCGUGUCGUCCUCCUCACGAGGCUUGGCCCCUCACGAGGGUCUUGGAUGCCUUGUUGGUGAAGAUGGGCCGUACGGCCUGCUGGCUCAGCCACGCCGCGGGCCGCAGGCAGGCAAGUCUGGGGACCCCCUUUCCCAGGACGCCGACAGUAGCCCCCGGGCCCAAGGUGCGCUCGGGCUUGGCUUCGCGGCGAAGCCAAGGGCCAAGUAUGGAGUGCCGCGGGCCCCAAAAGCCUGCGGCCUCGAUUGACGCGUGGUAGUUGAUUGGACGUGGGCGUCUCCGCUUCCCCACGCUGCCCUUGAAUCCGCCUGGCUAUGCGGCCCCGCCUCUUACACAGUUAUUCGUCCUUCGCCAUGCCCGGCUCUUCCAAUCUCCCUGCUUCCUCGACGCCCUGCUCCGCCUUCUCAAUCCGACCUGUGCUCCGCCCACUUCACCGCCAUGGCGCCGAAACAAGCCGAAAAGGGGAAGAAACCUCUGUCCUCACCAACUGCGCCUCCAUCCUUCGAGUCGGCGCUCGGCUGGCCUCGGGUGCUCGACGACGAGGCCAUGGACAAGGUGCGCCCCAUGCUUGCUUCCAGUUUCAACGAGUGGGGAGAGACGCCAGCUUGGCCGCGUCUCGCACCAGCAUGGCUCAUGCAGUUACCGAGGUUCCGAUCUUCAUUGAUGCCCUCUGGGCUAGCCUGAUUCCUCCCUUCUCUGCCUUCUUCAACGCGGUGCUCGAGCACUAUCAGAUCCACAUGCUCCAUCUCCAUCCUCAGGCUGUGACCCUUCUCGUCGUCUUCUCCUUCGUGUGCGAGGUCAUGGUGGGCAUCGCCCCCUUCGUGGCACUCCUCCGCCACUUCUUCUCGUUGCAUGUCACCGGUCCCCGGCAGAGCUCAGGGUGCAUGGGUUUCCAGGCCGUGGCUGCGACGGCAGGCGCGGGGAUCGACUUCGAGCUCCCUUCAUCGACGAGCGAGUUCCGUACGCGAUGGGUGUUUGUUGACGCAGGCGUGCUCAACCCUCUGCUCCAAGCUCCGGUGGGGCCUACUAUUCCAAACUCUGGCUGGGGUCAUCAGAAGCUCACGAGCCCCUGCCUUGCCCCCGUCUGGGCCAGGCUGAGGUGGUUGAAGGACCUUGGCGUGACUGAGCCGAUGGUGGUGAAGGAGUUCGUCAGGCGUCGAGUUGCUCCACUCCAGCGCCACUCUCGCCCGAUGUGGGAAUUGCUCAGCAGACAGGACAACAUGAGGUUUCAGGAGGAGGGGCUUCCUCUUGCUACGCGGCAGACAGUGCUCACGGUCCUAUCAGGUGUCCCUCUGCCGGAUGAGAUGCCCAGGAACAGCUGCAUGUUGUACAGCUGCAAGAACAAAGUCACAUUUGCCGCGAACAUGCCUUCCGUUGAUGAGUGGGGGCUGCACCCAAUCAACUUGGUGGGGCCCUGCGAGAACCCCGUCAUCGUGGUCCCCUUCUUCGCCGUCGGUGCCGGGCUCGCCCCAGGUGACGGUGCGGGGGAGCGAGCUGCGACGGGGGCCGGCGGCUUAGGUGCUGAGGAGCACAUGCCGGGUGGUGAUCCGGGGGCGUCGUCCUUGGGGGCCUGCGACCCCCCUCUUGAGGCGUCGGUUGCCGAGGAGAUGUGGCAUGCGGCUCCCGAGGCUCAGGCUCCAGGAGCCUCUGGAGGUCACAGUGGGAAGGAGUUGGGCUGUUCGCCACAGCUGGGCUCCCCUGAGGCCAUCCCUCUUGGUUCUUCUUCAGCUCCACCGCGCACCGGCCGUCACGUCCAACGCUUUGGUCGCCUUUGUGUGGACUUCGAGGAGCUCCACAAGAGGAAGGGAUCCCCCAGCGGCAGCAACAUCUUUGGGCCGUUGAAGCUACGGAAGUACAUCGCUAUUGACGCGUAAGUAUCUUGUCGCCGUGGCUUUUUGCGUGUGGUCUUCUUAUCGUGACGCCUGUCCUCCAGGGGCUCCUUUUGCUGAAGCUGUUGCGUCUUCCGAGAGGCGGUCUCGUCCUUUAUCAACUCCUCCGUCGGCAUUGAGCGUUCCCGGCAUGCCUGCCGCCCCUGGAGUAGGGUCAGUUGGAGGAGCGUGUAACAGCCUGGAUUUUGGCCCUUUCCUUUUUCUUUUGAUUUAAUUGGUGUUCCCUCUAUUUUUAUUUUUGGAGUGGUUCUGUGACCUUGUCACCUGGGAAAUCAUCUUCAUUUGCCCUCCCAAGUGGCUCAUCAUCCUAAAAACUUUGCCAAGAUCUUGUCACUCCACUGCUUGACCAAACCCUAAUUUCUUUUCUAGGGAAAAUUCUUUUUUCUAUUAAAGGAAUAACCCUAUAUGCCCUAGGUGGUGAAGCAACCUAUAUUUCUGUCCGUCCAAAAAUCCCCAAAUAAUUCUUAUAAAUUUUUUGGGUCAUAUCUUCAUCAAAUAUGGCAAAAUAUUUCAUUGGCCAUAUUUUACAUCAUGCUCAAUAAAUUCAUUUCCUAUUAUGUCCUAAAUAGCACAUUGUGAAGCAAGUGCUAUUUAUAUUUGUCCAUUUGCCCCCAAGCUUUUUGUGCAUGGUAUAUCAUCCAAAUAAUUUCCCUGUGCCAAAAUUUAACUUUACUUGCCUAGCCAAACUUCCUUAGUGAUUUUUUCAAAGUUCCUGUCUGAGGGAAGCCUUUGUGAAGCAAGUUCUAGCUAGGGUUAUCCAAAUGAGCUGAAAUUUUGCACACUCCUUCGUGUGCUCAUAUAAUUAGCCUCCUCCAAAUUUCAGCUCCAUCCCUGGACCUAUGUGAGAACAACAUGAAAUAUUUGAUUCUAUCAAUAUUUUCAGGUUGUGAAGCAAGUAUAUUGUAUAUUGCUUCAUUUUACCUGAAAAUUUACCAGAACAUUCUCCUACCCAAAUAACUUGUCUCCACCAAAUUUGGCAUCAAUUCAUAAAGCAAAUAUUUCUCUAGAAUUCUUGCAAGUUUCUGGUCAGCAAGGAUGUUUGUGAAGCAAGUACCAUUUUGGUAAAACCAAUUGAUAUGAAAUUUUUACAGCACCUUUAUCUGGCCAAGUCACUAAGCCCUGCCAAGUUUUACCUCAAGUGGUUACUCCAUGUGAGUGCAUCAUCCAAAUAUUGAUUCUGGACACAUAAUGUGAGUUACAAAGCAACUAUGUUAGUUUGUGCUCCAUUAUGCCUCAAAACUUCCAGGAUCAUAGUCCUUCCUUAGUUAAUCACCCCAGACAAACUCUUCGGCGCCAGUAAAAUCCCUGUUGGUCACCAGUGUUCACCAAAGUUUACUGCAGUAAACUUCAGAGGGUGAUUUCUAGUUAACCAUAUCACUUUCAACCGAGCUACCACCGCGGUUGUAACCUACCCUGGAUGAACUACCCACUAGACAACAUGGUCAAGCCCCUCUCCCUGCUACUAGCCAAUGCACGCGGUGACCGCAUUAAUGGCACCACAGUGCACGCGCUCUGUGUGCAGUGGCCGCGUCCACUGGCCGUUUGUGCGUCGGCAGCUCCUCCCCUCGUCGAAUUCGCGCGCGUGAGCAUGUCCAAGAGUUUUACCGCGUCGUCGCCAUUCUCCUGGACCUCUCUCCCUCUCAAUAAAACCCCUCACCGACGCUCACCGCCGAACGACCACGAGAGCACAGUGCCCCAACAUGUUUUAAUGGCGCUUGGCUUCUUCCUCUGCUUCUCCUUUGGCCUCCUCUUCCGCAUGAGAAUUCUCCCUGUGCCUCCAUUGUCACCUACCUCCGAGCUCACGAGCGUUGGCACGCGUUCACGGCGAUGCCAGCUCAACCGCCCUCGCCCUGCCUAUAUAAGGCCACCCCGUCUCCGUUUCUCCUCACCACUGGCCUCCCCCGCACCCUAGAAGCCUCCCCGAGCACUCCCUCGAGCUCGAGCGCCUCCCUUCCCUUCCCCAUGGCUGCCAUGCCCGCCUUGGCUCGGCCUAAAUUCUCUCAACGCCGAGCUCCUACCUCCCUAUCUACACCACCAGAGACCUCCAUCCUCCCGGAGCCACCCCAGCACCUCUCCCCAUCCUCCCGUGGUCGUUUGCAGCGCACUCCCCGGAGGCCGAAGCUCUCCUCCGCCGCGGCUCCCCGUUCCACCUACUCCGCUGCUCUCCAACGUGGGCAAACUCAUCAGGCGGGUGCGGCUCCUCGCGCUAGUCACUCCGGUGGUUCGAGCUCCAUCGGAGGUGGCCGGGGCUGACCGGGCGAGCGCCGGCACCGGCGGUCCUCCUCUGUGCAGCGGGUGCGCAUCGGGGGAGAAGAAGGAGAAGGCCAGGAGGAGAGAGAUGUCGCGCUGGACCCACACAUCAGCGACACAAGGCCCAGCCCCGCCCCCUCGCUGACGUGGAUAAGGGGACGCGGGAUUUGCCCGUGUGCGCUUUCCCCUUAUGAAAGCGUACUUUGUUCUUCUUCGGGCCAAAAAUACGUUUUCCGCUCUGGAAAAUGUAUUUCCUGAGAAGACGCAUUUUGUUUUUCUGUCCAGGCCCGGUUUGUAAAGAUUUUUCUUACAGAUGGGUCCCUGGCAGAAAAACCCUUAUAUCUUUUUGCUCCUAACUCCAAAUGAGGUGAUUCCAAAGCCCACUUCUUUGUUUCGUCGAGCCCGUUUCGAUGGAAUCAUUUUUAGCAUUUUUUGACAUUCUGAAAAUGACCAUUUUGCCCCUGCCUUAUUCAGCCCCCUCCAAGAGAGCAUGUUUUUCGGCGAUUCUUUCCGCGAGCUUCUCGCACUUGUUCUCGGUGAUUUCUUCCACCCGAGGCAAGCCACACCCUCCAUUUGCAUGAUUGCAAUGCAGUGGCAUGGUUUAUUCAGUUGAACUUGAUUAAAAUAUUGCAUUAGCUAUGUAUGCUUUGUUCAUGGCAUUUCUCGGAGUAUGGUUUUGAUCUAGAUGUUGCCAUGAUAUUGGUUGGAGUUCUAGGACUUAUAUUUUGAUGAUUAUGUGGAUGACAUGUUGCCUUUGGAUUCUUAAUGGCUAUUAUGAUUAUGUCCGUGAUGAUAUUAUGCUUUGGAGUAUUACUUUGGAUAUCAUGUUGCCUUCGGAUUAUUAGUGGCUUUUAUGAAUAUUUUUCAUGAUGAUAUCUGGUAUUAUUUUGGAGUAUUACUUUGGAUAUCAUGUUACCUUUGGAUUAUUAGUCGCUAGUAUUAGUUUCAUCAUGAUGCUAGAUGAUAUUAUGUUUUGGAGUAUGAUGAUGGAAAUGAUGCUUGCAUGUGGAUCAUAGUUGGAUAAUUAGUUCUUGAUAUUUGGGUAGUAGUCUUAUCGCUCUUGGAUUCAUCAUGAUAGUAAUGAUAGACUGUCCUCGGAGUAUUUUGAUAUGAUGAUAUUAAGCUUUGGAUAAAUUGUUGGAUAGUGCCAUGACUUGGGUUAUAGGUUGAUAGAUGAUAUCGGAGUAUCAGUCCUUACUAUUAUAUUUUGGGGAUAAAUUCCGUCAUUAAGUUGGUCAGGUGCCACCGAACCGGGCUUUUCUAGUGCAACCACAUUUGCCUUUAUGGGAAGGCCCUAAUGCGGUCUAUUGUCGUGCCUCUCACUGGUGCCUCCAACUAGGGAAAGUUAUGGGCGCGCACUACCCUGAUCAGGUAGGCAAACAUAGGCCUUGUGUGCCCGUUGUUGUUGUUAUGUGCACCAUCCCCUAGGGACAUUUUGGCCACAACGGUGGUCGUUGUGUCUUUGGUAGACACGGGGCCACCCAGGACUAGCUCAGUUGGGAGUGGGUCGGAGUGGCCGGGAGAGUGUCAUGGCAGUAGAUCGGUUUUGUCGGAACGCCAUUGGUCCACCCCGAAUGGGAGUGCGAGGCCAUGGGUUCCGUGGUGUGGGUAUAGUGCGCUACCUCUGCAGAGUGUGUAUCUAAAUCUAUCGGUAGCCGCGUCCUCGGUCAUGGGCAUGGGUUCGUACUAGGUCACACCAUUCGUUCAACACACACAUGACGGAAUGACUUAUAGGUGAUAUAUUUAUAUGUUGAUAUGUUGAGCAGUAUAGAUUGGCAGGAUGUUGAUGAUGAUGUUGGAGACCAAGUGUUGGUCAUGGUAGUGAUCGUCGGAAGGAUAACGGUUGAGACCAAGUGUUGGUCGUGGUAGUAAUCACCGAAAUGAUCACCGUUUGGUUUGGAUCACGUGGUGAUCGAGAUGGUAUAUUGCUUGGUCGGUUAGCCAAGAGAUAAAUGGUUAUGGGGAUCUGAGAUGGUGAUUUAUCAGUAUUGUAUCAGUUUCAUACCAUGUUUAGUAGUUGUUUCAUCAUAAUAGUUGUUAAUUUAACUAACAUGUUAAAUGCUAUGCUAUUGUCUUGCCUUGAUGUUAUGGUUGUUGUGAGCUUGCAAGUACAUUCAAUGUACUGACCUGGCGUGUCAUGCCAGAUUGCAGUUGAUGCCAUGAUUUCUUGAUUGCUUGUCGAUGGUUGCUGUGCGUGCGAGCUAUAUCGUGUCCCAGCCAGAGUCCCUGCGGAGUGGAGUUCACCACCUUCGUCGUUGUUUCACUGCUAGAAGUAUUCCGCUGCUACGAGUUGUUUCGCUGCUAGCAUCGAGCAAGUGUAGUAUCGCAUGCGUAGUGUCGCCGUGCUGAUGUGCUUCUUUGUAACAUCAGACCCUUGUAUUAUUAUUCUUGUAAUAAGAGCUGAUUUGUUCUAUGUCAAGCAGUGUCGUAUUCCAGAGACUUCUCCUCGAUCUCUGGACUGGAAUACGGGGCAUUCCAAUUUCUCUGAGCUGGGGUGCCAUAGAGUGUCCCCGCCUUCGGGACGUGCUGAGUCCGCGGUUUGGCCACCCCUCGCCCACGGUCUGGCGUGGAGCUUGGCGGGCAUGCCGAAGACUCCUACUCUGCUCAUGAGAAGUCGCUGGCUGACCUCGGUCUUCGGUUCCUCUUCAAGCAGCGAGCCUCGAUCAGCUUGGGCUCCUCGCGAGGAUGGGCUGACGUCAGGCACGGCGCCAGCCCCCAGCCCCCAACCGGGAGGUGGCGCGCCACUUGAUGCUCUACCCGAAGCCCAUGGAGGACGAGGCCAGUCAAGCGUUCGAGCUCGAGCGCGGGCGCAGCGUAGUCCGUAACGAGCUCUUCUAGGAGGCGAUGGGCGCGAUGAGCCACCUCGGUGAAGAGCUUGCUGGUGUCGACUCGCAUCUUGAGGCUGAAGGUCUUCGGUUGGUGGAGGAGCGGCGCAAGCUGCAGGUGGCCAUCAACCUUGGUCGCUAUCAGCACGACCUCGAGAAUGCGAAGGCCGAGGCAUCCCUCAAGAUUGCCAAUGAGGCCCACUCGCAAGCUUUGGAAGAAGCUCGUGAGGCCGAUCGCCGCUGCGAGGCUGCGGAGGAGCGCGCGUGGGGGCUUCAGGCCUGGAGCGUGUCCCUUGAGUAGCAGGUGGAGGCGCGCGGGGCCUCUCUUGCAUUGCUGAGGGGGGAUGCCUGCGGAGGAAGAGGAGGUCCGGCAGCGCGAGGAGACGCUGGCCCUGGAAGCCGUGGAGCGCAGCCUCGAGCUCGAGCGACUGGAGACAAGGGAGCGUCAAGUCGCUCAAGCAGAAGAUGUCGUAGGGGCCCGCGAAGCCGGAGUCGAGGAGGAGAUCGAUCGCAGGGUGGCCGAGGUUCGCGCCGAUCUGGAGGGCAGGUACGACUUGAAGCUAAAGCUCGCUGGUCUGGAGGGUGCGGGCAGGGCUGCCGCCCUCAGGCCCAGGUUGGAUGAGGCCGAGAGGCGUGCGAAGGCCACAGCAGCUGCCCUAGUUACGGUGCUGGCGGACUUGGCCUCCGCCCAUGCCGAGCUGCUUUCCCUCCGGAAAUGAGUUCACGAUGCCAAGGCCGUCGCAUGGCAAAACAGGGAGGAAGUGCUCCAACGCCGAACGCUGGAGCGCAAGCAUGCUCCUAUGCUUCAAGACCUCUGGAACAAGGCCAACACCGCCCUGGGUUACAUCUGCAACGAGAACAUCCCGGCCCCUCACUCGAAUGACUACGCCAGCCACCUGAUCUUCUUCACGGAGGUGGUGACGUGCCUGGAGGCUCAAUCUACCAGAGCUCGACAGCUUGUGGAGGAGAGGGGUCAUGUCCUGCUUCAGCGCGCCUUCCCCCGUGUCUUCAGCCACCUUCUGAACACCGACCCCAACUUUGACUUCGAUGCCACCAUUGCCCCCGUACCCACGGCCGUCAGGGGCGACCUAGCGCGUUGGGUAGAGGACCAUGUUGACGCAUUGGUCAGGGCCUUCACCUCGGAGGAUGACGCGGUGGUGGUCGUUACAGACGAAGGUGACGUAGUCAACGACAGUGAUGGGGGCGUCGCCGACGGCAGCGGCGAUACCGACAAAGAUGACGACGACGCGAGUAACGUGUCCGCGGGUGAUGUAGCGAGUGAUAUCUCUGGCUGAUCCCAUGUUCGCCCGUUGUUUCAUCCUGCAUGCAAAACUCGGGCGUGGCCCUUGGAAGACUUUGUAAGAGCAUUUCGAGAGGGGGAGCCCUCGUGUAAGCAAAUUGUAGUUUUUACUUUCCUAUGAGAUGUCGGUAUGUGUCCUCGUGAGCUCAUGAAGCUGGGGGUGAGCUCCCUGACGUGGUUUACCUUAGUCAGCGCCAGAUUAGGCCGGGUCAUGAGGUGACGAGUUCCUGAGAAUCCUGCGGAGCUUAUCACCCCGUUUGAGGGGGGCCCAUAAGAGGUGAGCACCAGGCGCAGUGCUAGCGCGUGCUUGACGAGCGUGCGCUCUGUGUGGUCCGACUGGCGAGGAGCUUUACGAGGGAAAGGCAAUGGACAUGAGUCCCAAACCAAACAAGAUCCAGAAGGCAAGAAGAGGCUCGAAUGAGAAAAGGCACCCCCCGCGCGCAUCGAUAAAAAUUCAGCUUCAACUUAAGUCCAGAUCCAAAAAGCAAAGCCACAGAAAGAGAGAUCCAAAGCAAAAGGCCGCGUCCGGCACCUAGUCUAGUCUUCGGGUCUUCAAGUCUUCUCACCAGCGUGGAGCUAAGUGCUUCCACUAGGCGUGGGAGGGAGCCCCAGGGCCUGAGGCCGGCGCUCCUGAGACUCCGGGGCGUGUACAGCCCCAACUCAUUAUUACGUGAGAGUGUCUCGGGUGGCGAGCUUCACAGGCACUGGGCCUUCUUCACAGGUAUCGGCCUUGCUUCAUAUCGCCAGACAAGGGCCCCGCCUUGCGCCACCCUCAACCUCCUUUGAGCCAACCAGUCACCAAGAUGACACAAAAGAGGGAAAGGGGACGCCAGCGGUUCUCUCGGCGACCACGGGUCCUCUGCCGGGGGAAGGGUUGUCGAAGCCACCCUGACAGAGGGCCUACCUCCAGGUGUCCCCUAGUUUUGCGUGCCUUGGGGAGGGGCCUGGCUCCCGACCCCUCUCCUGCAGCCCCCGGGGCGAUCCUUCCACUGCCAGGGGGGCUGUCGAGCUGGGGGCCGCCUGCCGCCGCGGUGGCCUGCUCCUCCUGCGACUCAUGGUUAGCGUAAGCUUGCUCCUGAGGGAUUAGGGGUACCCUGUAGUGGUCGUCGCACACGUGGCUGUGGUGGUUCCCCGGCAGCUCCUGGAAGGCUUCAGCUCCUAGCGCUCCUUCUUCCCAAUCUUCUCCAACGAACGAGCCCGGGCCGUCCUCCGGUGUGUACUCCUGGUCCGUCAUGCGGGGCACGUAGGCUUCCGGGGCUGUUACCCCGAAUACCCCCCGUGGUGCCCCACACUCCAUGUCGUUCGGCCCAUCGUGGCCUCCUGGGGGUGAUAGUGUGGCAUCCUCUCGGGCCAUGGAAGGCGACGCUUGUGCCCAUGCUUGUUGCGGGCGGUACGGGGGCGGUAGAGCCCGCGACACCGCCGGCCAUGCCGGCAUUGACGAAGCCCCAUGGCGCACUCGUCGGUGCGCGAUGGCGGCGUGGCCCACCGAAGAUCCCCGUAGCGGCCUGAGGAGGAAGCUGAUGGCAGAAGGGCGGGGCUCCCGAGGCCGCCGCGUCCAGCAGCUCAACAACACGCUCCAGCAGCGUGUCUCGGACACUUUCCAUCAGCCGACACCGCAGCAGCUCCCUUGCCACGGUGAGUGCUGCCCGUGUGUUUGCUUGCUCCUGUCAUGAGUGCGGCGCCAUUGCUGCGGCGUGGCUUGCUGCUCUGGCAGCGGCUCGUACUUGCCGUGGAGUGACAGUAGCCGACGCCCCACCGCGUCGCCCGCGCCCCGUAGGAUUGGGUGGCGCUCGGGCCGCCUGGAGUGCGGGGUCGACGUCUUCAUAGGCGGGCGGCGCCGACCGGGCUGGCCAGGCUGCCCAGCGGUCGGGGUCAGCUCUUGGGUCGUCGGACAUCGCGGUCGUGGUGCAUCUGCAAGUCGAUUGUCGGAGAAGAAGCUCCGGCGCACCCCUACCUAGCGCGCCAAAUGUCGGAUGUGGGGUUCCGACAAACCCUUAAGGUUCAAACACUGGGGUGCGCACGAAGUCUCUUCCUCCCACCGAUCUACGCCCUAGCUCGCUAAGAUCUCGCGGACGAACUCGACGAACUGGCAACACAGGAAGACACAUGAUUUAUACUGGUUCGGGCCACCGUUGUGGUGUAACACCCUACUCCAGUGUGGUGGUGGUGAAUUGCCUCUUGGGAUGAUGAUGAACAAUACAAGGGGAAGAAUAGCCUCCUGAGGUCGAGGUGUUCUUGUGCGUGGCUAACUUGUGUGGGUGAGAGAGCGAUCUAAGAUGCCGACCCCCGCCCCCGAUGGUGGCUAGUCCUACUUAUAGAGGCCCUGAUCCUCUUCCCAAAUAUUGAGCGGGAAGGGAGCCAACAAUGGCAGGCUAAUUUGAAGGGGGGCAGCUAGUACAAGCCAUCUGACCAAAGGUGGUCUGUGCCUACGAAAGGCUCUGGUGGUGACGCCGUCUUGGGCUCCACGAUGACCUCCGUCUUGUCGUCCUUCUGGUCUUGGUCUUGUUGCACCAAAAUGGAAACCUUUGCCUGAUGCCUCGGUACUCCUCGCCUGUGCUAGUUUCCUUAGCACCAAAGAGGAAACAAGGACGUUGCGCGCGCUGGCGCCCGCCUGGCGCCCACCUGGUGUCGAUCGUCAUGGCUCAUGUCAUGAGAGCCUCAUGAGGUUCACCUCGCCUUGAUAUAUCCGCUCCUCGUGAGCCUGCCUGACUAGGCCGCUCUAGAGGAGGUCUCGUGUCGUCCUCCUCACGAGGGUCUUGGAUGCCUUGUUGGUCAAGAUGGGCCGUACGGCCCACUGGCUCAGCCAUGCCGCGGGCUACAGGCAGGCAAGUCUGGGGACCCCCGUUCCCAGGACGCUGACAACUUGAUCCGCUGUUGGAUCGCAUGGCGGAUCAUCCCUCUGAGCCGCCGAUCUGACUUGAUGUACAACUAUACCAGAGGAGCAGACAAUCCAUUAUGUUAUAGCUCCCUACGUCUGACUGAAGAAGCCAUUGUUGAAAUGUCAACCACCCUCGUCAACAGUAAAUAUGAAGACUACAUCAAAGUAGGAUUGAAUCCUUUCUGCAAACUUAACCCGGCACCAGAGGUAAAUCCUCUUGACUCCUUUUUCUUCAGCAGUUAAGUAUUUGCAUGAGUUUCAACUUGUUAUAUUUCUACAGGCUAAAUCUGACUUUUGGAAGGCCAAAUAUGAUCAUGAGGCUGCCAAAAAAGCUAGAGCCGCCGCAAUAGCCGCUAAUAAGACAGCCAGAAAAUCUAAGAAGAAACCAACUGCUUCUGAAUUGUUCAACUUGGAUGACGUCUCUGAGUCGGAGGUAGCCCUUGACUCUCUUGGCCUACUUUUUAACAACCUUAUUGACACUAACUAUUACUAGGAUGAUACGGGGGCCAGCCAGGUAGUAGAAGAAGAGGUAACUAUUAUUUCCUCAGACUUAGAACUUUUGCCAAGGCAGAAACCUCGGCGGGUAACCCAGAAAGUAAGGUUUUUGCACCCCUUGGCUUAUUUAGAUCCUCGUUUUCUUUUGAUAAAGCAGCAACAUGAGAGCCGCCAUCAGACCCCGACCAGUGGAGAUGAUGAGUUACCCUCUGGCUUACCGAAAACUCCUCGGAAAUGCCAGAAUGAGGUUCUUUUACAUCUUAACUCUGAUGAACAAGUCACUUUUAUAAAUCACUCAACCAUAAUUCCAUUUUUUGCAGGAGAUUGCUCGUUCCUCCUCUGGUGAUUCCUCCCAAACUCAGCUACCGGCUUUUAAGACCGCCCCCAGGUAAAGAUAAUUAUCCUUCUUCUGCACCUUUAUGCUUGUAUCAUUAUAUUGACUUUUUAAAUUCUUCUUAGUGGUCAAGCAAAGCCCAAGAAGGCCAAGGUGGCCAAACCGGCUGAAGACCCGAAAGUCGCUGAACCGGCACAGCCGACUCUUGCCUCGGAAGAACCUAAAGCGCCGGAAGACCCCACUAUCAAUGUUCAGUCAGAUCUUCGUGAGCCGUCUGUUGACGAAACCGUUCUCAAUCCAUCCACUGUUGAGCCAUGAAGCUCAGCUAACCCGCCGGAGACUUAUGGCAAUGAUGUUUUAAUCACUGGUAGCAGAUUCGUUGAACCGGGUAAUCCAAUUGUGCUGGCAAGACACUCCGCCAAGCAAGAGGUCAUGGAGAGGCAGAAAGUGAGGUUUGAUGUCUCCCACUACACCCAUCUGAGUAUUGGUGAAGUACUAUCUGGCUAUCUUAGCCAAGUCAACUCCAGUCGUGACUCAGAAAUUGAAAUGGUCAAACAGUUGUAUCAGAAAUAUGAGGUAUGUCAUUCGGCUUAUAUAUACAUCCUGUAAGCCCCCAAGUCUUCUGAUUAUGAAAAAACUUGAAUAAUUUGUAGACUUUGAAAUGUUUAGAAGCUUAUGUCCUAGGCUCCCUCCAAGUCCGGUUUAUAUAUUAUAAACUCAAAUUCUGAUGAUAGCAUAACCGUUGCAUUUGUAGUCCCCAAGGGCCGGUUUAAUCAGUAUGAAUGAACAAUAUGUAAAAGAGAAAUACUUUGACUAGAUAUCCUGACGAGCCAGCUGAAGCUAUGAAUAACACAUCCGGCAUACUUUAGGUAGGAAAAAUAGCAAUAUGCAUUAGCCCCAAAGUGCCAAGUGUUAUUGCUUGCAAAGCACUUGGGACUUCUGAAAAAUCCAAUUCCUUUGACAAGAAAAUUGCGCUGACAGACAUUAGCCCCCAAGUGCCAAGUGUUAUUGCUUGCAAAGCACUUGGGACUUGCUUUUAUAGUCUGCCAUGAAACUUAACAAUCGUAUUCUGUAUACAGGCUGCAACCGUAGAACUGGAAUCUCAAUUGACUGAAGCCAAGACCCGGCUGUCGACUCAGGAGACUGAAACAACGAAAAUUGAAUCCAAACUCCAGUUGAGCAUGUCUAAAGCAGAGAAACUGAAGACCAGUUUAAAUGCAGAGAAAAAGUCUUCGACCGAUGAGAAGACUUCACUGACGCAGCGUGCUGAAACGGCCGAGGCGGCUUUGAAAGAAGUUACCAUUGAACUCACCGGUUUUAAGAACCAUGUGUCUCAGAUGGUUUCUGCAAUCUUUGGUAAAUCAUUCUUAUUUACUCAAAGUCUAUAUUUAUCACCAUAAUGUAAGCCACCUACUUAACCCAUUGGGAAAACUUCACAGGUCCGCGGAGCAGCAAUCUGAGUCAAAAUAGCUUGAUAAAGCUCAAGGCGGUUUACACUCUUGUGGAGCAACUAUAUACUGGAGCUCAACGGACUCUUGCCAUUAUCUCCCCAGCUAACCAAGGACCAAACUUAUUGAGUGAUGUCUUGAAGAAGCUAUCCAUCUUACCCGCCAGGUUUCAAGAAGUCAAGCGUUCCUGUGCGAGAGCCGAAGCCGUAACUGCUUUAAGCCACUCCAAAGCCUGCGUACCAGAGCUAGACCCGAUGGACGUAGCCAAGGGGUACCCCAGUUUUAAGGAAUAUGGGAGUCCCUUUGACCAAGAAGACUUUGCUGCUUGUGUAAAAGAGAUUCAUCCUCAUGCCACCAUCAUUGCCGAAGAAACCAACCUUACCAAGUAUCAGCCGGGUUUUGAUGCAGAGAAUAAAAAGAUGACGACUCCUUCGUAUAAAGUGACGGAUCUAAUCCUGUCGGUUCGCCAGCACACUUUUGCCCUGGAAAUUGACCCGUCUGGUCUGAUUGAUGAUGAGGCUAAGUUCGUCGCCCUUCAUGGCUUUGAUUGGUCCAAGCCCAAUUUCCAAACGGUGGAGGAGGAUGAACCGGCAAGGGAUUAGUCGUAACCAUCCAAACAACCCGGCCAGGACUGAUGAACCGGCUUUAGUUUAUCAUCUGCUAUGAGAGUUUAAAAAAAUCAUUAUCCUUUUGGGCUCCAAGUGCCUUGUAAUAGGCUAGCUUAAAACUUCAUGUUCUGUUUAUGCCAUCGUGCAUAUUGUGUUGCGUACAACACUUUUAUCCGUCAUGUGAAGAUAUGCCUUACAUCCUUUACAAUAUCAGUAGGUUUUGAAUCUGUUCCUACAUGUAAGAUAUGAAAAUUGUCUUGGCGGUUUAUCGUUGGACGGGUCAAAACACUCAGUACACAACCAUGGAAACCAACAUAACUGUAUAAUUAAGGCUGGAUAUAAGGAUAAUUAAGGCUGGAAAACCUCUGAUUGAAGAGAUACAGAUAAGCAUGUUAUGAAUUUUAACUUUGAAACACAACGGCAAUAUCAUACCUAUGAUCUUGAAUCUGAACUGUCGGCUUAUGUGACCCGAACAGUAAGGGUGAUAACCCAAUCUUUAGAAGCCAACACUUCCAUAUGUAUGAUGACUGUCAUACACUGGCGAUUUAUCGUCAAAAAACCAAGCCAGGUUAAAUUGAAACCAUACUUAUACUUCGAUCAAGAUGAAAAGCCGCGGAAUAAAAAACAAAGAUCGACUUUCAAAAAGCGUAAGUCAAACACAGAAAAAUUUGGAGGCUUCUGAUUCGAAUACGAUCAGUAAACCGGACCAAAGGGGUUAAGCUAGGAUUCGAAUACGAUCAUGUAGCCCCCAGUGGAUUUGGUGUUGUGCCGAUCAAGAGGGUACCGACAGCUAUGUUCUCUUUGGUUCGAAUACGACCUGUGUUUGAACAGGAAGCCCCCAAAUGACCUUGAGAGUUUUUUUAACGACUCUGAUUCGAAUACGAUCAAAGUCAGACCCAAAAGGGGUUAAGCUAUGAUUCAAAUACGAUUAAGAAGCCCCCUAGUGAGUUUGGCAUUGCGUCGAUCAAGAGGGUACCGACAACUAUGUUCUCUUUGGUUCGAAUACGACCUAUGUUUGAACAGGAAUCCCCCUAGUGAUCAUAUGUUUUACCAGCUAGAUUCGAAUUUGAUCAUAAGCCGGACCAAAGGGUUAAGCUAGAUUUGAACAAAAUCAGCCCCCAAUUGGUCAUUUUGAAUUUAACAUGAUGAAAACAUGCAAUUAUUGAGGAUGAAAAAGGAUAGAGGUCCUGCUUUAUUACUUAUCAUAAUAUAUACAACGUCAAAGUAUGUACAUCAUGAGAGCCAGUGACUCACGUAUAGUAAGGCCGAAGAUGAGCGAUGUUCCACGGCCGGCGAGUCUCCUCCUCCAACUUAUGUGAGUCUUUGUGCUCUCGAACAUCGAUAAGGUAGUAUGACCCGUUGUUCAAGUUCCUGCUGACCACAAAAGGUCCUUCCCAAGGUGGAGAUAAUUUGUGUGCAUCAGUUUGAUCCUGGAUGAGCCGGAGCACCAAGUCACCUUCUUGAAAGGUUCUGGACUUAACCCGGUGGCUGCAAUAACGGUGCAGGUCCUAUUGGUAAAUCGCCGAGCGGGCUGCUGCUAAGUCACGCUCUUCAUCUAACAGGUCAAGUGCAUCCUGACGGGCUAGUUCAUUAUCAGCUUCAAUGUAAGCCACCACGCGGGGUGAAUCAUGACGGAUGUCACUAGGCAAGACUGCCUCCGCUUCGUAAGCCAUCAAGAAAGGGGUAUAACCCGUAGACCUGUUGGGGGUAGUAUUGAUGCUUCAUAUCACAGAGGGUAACUCCUCCACCCAACAACCCGGUGUUCGUUGUAAAGGAACCACAAGCCGGGGCUUGAGACCUUUCAAGAUUUCCUGAUUGGCUCUUUUAGCUUGAGCAUUAGAUUGGGGAUGAGCCACUGAUGAAACAUCAAGCCGGAUAUGCUCACGUUGGCAGAAUUCCUCCAUACCACCCUUGGACAGAUUAGUACCAUUGUCAGUUAUAAUGUUGCAUGGAAAGCCAAAAUGAAAGAUCACCUUUUUCAUGAAUUGAACCGCCAUGGCUGCAUCACACUUACUAACCGGCUCUGCCUCAACCCACUUUGUGAAUUUGUCAACUGCCACCAAAAGGUGUGUCUUUUUAUCUUUGGAUAUUUUGAAAGGUCCAACCAUAUCGAGCCCCCAGACUGCAAACGGCCAAGUAAUUGGAAUCAUCCGCAAUUCUUGAGCUGGCACGUGUGCCCAUCGUCCGAAUUUUUGACAACCAUCACACCUACUGACUAGAUCCUCCACAUCAACGUGAGCCGUCAGCCAGUAAAAACCAUGAUGGAAGGCUUUGGCUACAAGAGACUUUGAACCGGCAUGAUGGCCACAAUCUCCUUCAUGGAUUUCAUGAAGAAUUUCUUGACAUUCCUCAGGAGAGACACAUCGUUGAAAUGCCUCGGUGACACUGCGAUGAUGCAACUCACUGUUGGCAAUUGUCGUUGAUUUAGACCGCCGGGUUAUCUGUCUAGCCAAGGUCUCAUCCUCAGGCAACUCACCCCGGGUCAUAUAAGCCAAAUAUGGCACUGUCCAAUCUGGGAUGACGUGAAGAGCCGCCACGAACUGUGCUUCCGGGUCUGGAACAGCCAAGUCUUCCUCUGUAGGCAACUUGAGAGAAGGGUUAUGCAGAACAUCUAAGAAAGUGUUAGGCGGCACCGGCUUACGCUGAGACCCUAGCCGGCUUAAAGCAUCAGCCGCUUCAUUCUUUUUGCGAUCAAUGUGUUCCACAUGGUAACCCUUGAAAUGUCCAGCAAUGGCAUCAACUUCGCAGCGAUAAGCCGCCAUGAGAGAAUCCUUGGAAUCCCACUUGUCUGAUACUUGUUGAGCCACCAAAUCUGAGUCACCAAAGCACCGUACCUGGCUCAAGCUCAUCUCCUUAGCCAUCUGAAGACCAUGGAGCAAGGCCUCAUACGCAGCUGCAUUGUUAGUACAGGGAAACAUCAACCGUAGCACAUAACAAAAUUUGUCACCUCGAGGGGAAGCUAAAACAACUCCAGCCCCCGAGCCCUCUAAUUGCCUGGACCCAUCAAAAUGAAUAGUCCAAUAUGUGUUGUCCGACUUCUCUUCAGGCAUCUGCAGCUCUGUCCAAUCAUUGAUGAAAUCCACUAGUGUUUGAGAUUUGAUGGCAGUGUGUGGCACAUACUUUAAACCAUGAGGCCAAGCUCAAUGGCCCACUUGGCAACUCGUCCUAUGGCUUCUCUAUUUUGAAUAAUAUCUCCUAAAGGACCAUAGCUAACCACAGUGAUGGGAUGACCCUGAAAAUAAUGCUUAAGCUUCCGGCUCGCCAUGAACACCCCAUAAACAAGUUGUUGUCAUUGUGGAUAUCUCUGUUUGGACUCAAUGAGCACCUCACUGACGUAGUAAACCGGUCGUUGCCGGAUAUUCCUUGCCAACCUCUUUGCGCUCUACGACAAUGGCCACACUGACAGCACGUGUGUUAGCAGCCACAUAUAACAAUAAUGGCUCCUUAUCCAUGGGAGCAGCAAGAACCGGCGGCUCAACGAGCUGUCUCUUCAGAUCUUCAAAGGCAGAGUUUCCAGCAUCACUCCAGACAAAAUCAUCUGUCUUCUUCAUCAUUUGAUACAGCGGUAUGGCCUUCUCACCUAACCGGCUUAUGAACCGGCUUAAAGCAGCAACAUGACCCGUCAACCGUUGAACGUCAUUGAUGCAUGCCGGCUUAGCCAAAGAUGUAAUUGCUUUGAUUUUCUCUGGGUUAGCCUUGAUGCCUCUAUUAGAAACCAAAAAACCCAAAAGCUUUCCCCCUGGCACUCCAAAAACGCACUUGGCCGGGUUAAGCAUCAUCUUGUAGAUCCGGAGGUUAUUAAAGGUUUCCUUCAGAUCAUCUAUCAAGGUCUCCUUCUCUUUGGACUUCACCACUAUAUCGUCCACAUAAGCAUGAACAUUGCGCCCAAUCUAAUUGUGAAGAUAGUUCUGCACACAUCGCGGAUAAGUCUCCUGGGCACUUUUAAGCCCAAAAGGCAUAGACACAUAGCAGAAGGCUCCAAACGGAGUAAUAAAAGCCGUCUUCUCCUGGUCUUUAACUGCCAUCUUGAUCUGAUGAUAACCAGAAUAAGCAUCCAAAAAGCUCAAACGCUCACAACCCGCCGUAGCAUCAAUGAUUUGAUCAAUACGAGGGAGAGCGAAAGGAUCAGCCGGACAAGCCUUGUUUAAGUCCGUGUAAUCCACACACAUAUGCCAGGUGCCGUUCUUUUUAAGCACGAGCACCGGGUUAGCCAACCACUCUGGAUGAAAAACUUAAAUAAUGAACCCGGCCGCUAAGAGUCGGGCCACUUCUUCACCAAUGGCCUUGCGCCUUUCGUCAUUGAACCGCCGAAGAAACUGCUUGACCGGCUUAAAUUUUGGAUCAAUAUUGAGAGUGUGCUCAGCGAGUUCUCUCGGUACACCCGGCAUGUCAGAAGGUUUCCAUGCAAAGAUGUCCCGGUUCUCACGGAUGAACUCGAUGAGCGCACUUUCCUAUUUGGGAUCCAGAUUAGCAGUGAUACUAAACUGCUUAGAUGAGUCACCUGGAACAAAAUCAACAAGCUUAGUGUCAUCAGCCGACUUAAACUUCAGCAACGACUCAUGCUCCUUAGUUGGCUUUUUCAAAGACGUCAUGUCUGCCGGGUCAACAUUGUCUUUGUAAAACUUUAACUCCUCUGUUGCAUAAAUAGAUUCAGCGUAAGCGGCAUCGCCUUCCUCACAUUCCAAGGCUAUCUUCCGACUCCCAUGCACUGUGAUGGUACCCUUAUGACCUGGCAUCUUGAGCUGCAAAUAAACAUAACAGGGUCGUGCCAUGAACUUGGCAUAAGCCGGUUGUCCAAACAUGGCGUGAUACGGGCUCUUGAUUUUGACCAGCUCAAAAGUUAAAUUCUCAGCCCUAGAAUCAUGCUCAUCUCCAAAGGCUACUUCCAGUUCAAUCUUGCCCACUAGGUAUGCCGACUUACCUGGCACCACUCCAUGGAAAACAGUGUUGGAUGUCUUAAGAUUUUUGUCAGUCAGCCCCAUGCGACGGAAAGUCUCAUAAUAGAGGAUGUUGAUGCUACUGCCUUCGUCCAUGAGUACUUUAGUGAAUUUAUAUCCACCAACUUGAGGUGCCACCACCAAGGCCAGGUGACCCGGAUUGUCAACCCAGGGGGUGAUCUUCCCUACUCCAUAGAAUAGGCUGCUCAGACCAUCUCAAAUAAUGAGGGACUACUAGCUCAACAGCAUUCACAGCCCUCUUAUGAAGCUUCUGGUCCCGUCUACACAAACUGGUGGUAAACACAUGAUACUGUCCACUAUUCAACUGCUUUGGAUUGCUCUGGUAUCCAGAUUGUUGUUGCUGCUGCUGACCUCCUUGGCUAGACUGCUGAUUAUGACCACCUUGAUUUCCUUGAGAGCCUUGAAAAUUGGAGUUUGAACCGCCGCCCGGACCAUGAAAACCGCCGCCACCUGAGCCACCGCGCGGCCCAUGAUUGCUAUUGAACAUGUUAGAGUUCUUGAAAGCCUUCAUGAUCGUACAGUCCUUCCACAGGUGAGUGGCCAGUUUCUGCUGAGUACCGUGCCUUGGACAGGGCUCAUUUAAUAGCUACUCAAGAGUGGGACCUGACCCGCCGGACCGAGGAGGUGGCCUCCCCUUACGUUGCUGAUUGUUGCCUUGUGCAUUGGUGUUAGCCACAAACUCCAAGCUACCGUCAGCCUUACGUUUAUUAUUGCCUCCUUGAUUUGUCGGGUUAUGUUGAUGACCCUUGUCGUUCUUCUUCCCCUUCCAUGUCUUCUCCUCGUCAGACUCGGGAUCCUUGGUACUAUCAGAGUCGACAUACUUUACUAGAGCCGCCAUUAGCUGGCCCAUGUCAGUACAAUCGCGUUUGAGCCACCCCAUCUUCUGUUUCAGAGGCGUAAAAUGGCAAUUUUUCUCCAACAUUAAGACUGCAGAGCUGGCAUCCAUCUUAUUAGAUGAAUGUAUUAUGGCUUUGACCCGGUGCACCCAAUGGGUCGUGGACUCUCCUUCCUCUUGUUUACAAUUAGUUAAAUCCACAAUUGUCAUAGGCUGCUUGCAGGUGUCUUUGAAAUUCUGAAUAAACCGGGCUUUUAACUCUGCCCAUGAACCAAUGGAAUUGGGCGGCAGCCCCUUCAGCCAGGUGUGGGUCAUUCCAUCCAACAUCAUGGUGAAGUACUUGGCCAUUGUCGCGUCACUGACCUCCAGUAGUUCCAUGGCCAUCUCAUAGCUUUCAAUCCACACCCCUGGCUGUAAAUCGACUGUGUAAUUAGGCACCUUUCGAGGCCCCUUGAAAUACUUGGGCAAACGCUCAUUACACAGAGCCGGUACCAAACAAGGGACACCUCCAGUCCUUGUGGCCACGCCUGCCUCAAUAGAGGCCGUCAGAUGAACCGGAAAAGACUGGUGAGCCUCCCGCUAAGACGCCUGCUCAGCUGCCUGUUGAGCCGCCCGCUCAACCUCUUAGCGGAUCCUGUCCUGGUCAACCAAGUUAAGAUCUUCAUCACGCGCCGGGUCAUGCCCGCACGGCUGGUCACGGCAUCGGGCGUUGCUUGAAAUGGCUGCCAAAUCUAUAUGCCUGCUAUAACUCGGGCUCCGGCUUGGGCGAGGGGUCGAAUGAAUCCUGCCUCGACUAUAAGAAUAAGCCUCCUGCUGCGCCAGAGCCAUCUAAAGAAGUUCUCUGACCCUUCGGGUUUCAAUCGCCGUCGGAGAGUCACCCUCCGCUGGGAGAGCCGCCAAUCAUGCUCCCGCGGCGAUCAUGUUCUCCAAAGGGUUAGAAUAAUGGCCCGGUGGUGUUGGUACAUAAUGAGGUGUAGCAGUAUUCGCACGAGGAGGUUCCAUCACCCGUGGCUAAACCGGCGCCCCAGCCCUGGGCGUUGCAACCCAGUUUACCUCCGGCGGGUUACUGGGGCCCGCCCCGGGUGUGCGGAAGAGGUUUCUAGGAUCAUAAAUCAGAGGCAGACGGGAUUGAGCCUUCUGGUGUCUUCUCCUCAUGACUUCAUUUGAUGCGUUCCGAUCCAUCGUAAGCUGGAAAGCUUCUGAUUGAAUCUGCUGAGCUCGAGCAUCUAAAGCCGCCCGCUCUGCGGCCAUCCUAACGUCCUCUGCUGCUAGGUUUUCCUUGUCUUAUGCCACCUCCUCACGUAACCGUGCCACUUCUGCAUCAUGUUGAUCCUGAUCCGCCGGGUUAACCACGGCAGUUAACAUGGCUGUCAUCCUGUCCAUGAGAUCCAUCAGUACCUGAGCCGGCGGGCACGCAGGGCCUCCUGCCCCGGCCGCUGUUGACCCGGAGGUAAUUGCUGCCACAGUCGUAGAGUUUUGAAUGGGCUGCGUGCUAGUCAUGAAGAUCCCUGACUUGCUCGGCGGCUCAAAGGGGUCCGGAAUACUGCUACCAUCGGAACAGCCCCCAAGCCCACCGUCUUGCAUUUGAUACAAUGAAUCCAUCUCACCUGUGGACGAUCCACCGUCAAAGAAGAUGGCCGUCUCAUCAGCAGACACCGAUCCUUCAGAUAACUCUCCUCCAUGGAUGCAUCCCAUGAAGGCACGCUUAAUGGCGGGCUGAGUCCGGGCGGAUCUCGCACACUGAGCCGUCUCGAUGAUGUCGGUGCAGAUGUCUGGCUCAGGGCCCGGCUCGCCGAUCUGGCCGAUGAAGACGUGGAUUCCACCGAAGGGGAAUCGGUACCUGUACUCAAUUGAGCCAGUGUCAGGGCCCCAGCCAGCAUCGUCGAUGUAGAGCUUGCCGCGAUGACUCUUGGUCAUCGGGCCCACAACAUAUCCCUUGAGCCCUUCAAAGCUGCCCUUCAAGAACUCAAAUCCACCGUGUGGAGGCGCCACGGUGGGCGCCAACUGUCGUGGAAUUGUCACGGCAGAUGUCCUAGUGAAAGGACUUAAUCAUGGAGCCAUCACAGGUAGGAAGCUUAAAGGGGUUAAACGGGACAAAGGACACGAGAAGUUUAUACUGGUUCGGCCCCUUGCGGUGAAGGUAAAGGCCUAGUCCAGUUGAGGUGAUAUUGCUAUGUUUCGAUGACCAAGGAGCGAAUACGCUUAACCUGGCUCUCGAUCUAUUGCUUCUUACCCUAAGCCGCCACCGGAUCGUCCCCUUAUAUACACAGGUUGACGCCAUGCAGCCUACAGAGUCCCGAUCGGCUCAUACAACGUGUACGGCUCGGUGACGUAUCUUACAUGCCUUACAUUACAAGUCUAUUCAUACAUGGCGUUUUAUAUUUACGGGCCCUAAGCCGCCCCUGGGCCUGGGCCUAUCAUAAGCCUAACUAUGAACCACCACCUUGUAUACUCUUGGGCUUCAUACAGGUGAAACGUCAUUGUGGUUGACCCGGCCCCUUCUGGGCGGGUCAUAUCUGAUAGUCAUAUCCCCAAUAGUCCUCGUUGCCGAGGCUCACCUCGUCCUCGGAGAGCGGAAGGUAGUUACUGUCCUCCGGGUCUUCGUUCAUGGCAUGUACAUCAGGGCUAACUCGCCCAUGUUCCCACUCGUCCUGUUCGGAAGUUGGCUUAGCGGGGUCUUCAUUGUCUUCGGCAUCGUCAAGAGUAUUGUUUGUGCCGGUAUUGCUGUUUUUUCGGCGGCGUUGCUUAGAGCGGUGCCGCUGACAUCGGCGCUUUGGCUGUAUCUCAGGAGGCCUGUCCUCGAUGGAUCUUCCUUGUCAUCACCCCUAUUCUCGUUUGGUGUGUCCACCAUGUAUACGUCAUAGGAGGAGGUGGCUGUCUGGCGCCCGGUAAAUGGCGGGAUUUGGGCCUGCUCCUCUUUGGCAUCGUCGUCCAUACCAUCAAUGUCUCUGGAGUCGUAAUCAAGCAUGUCGGUUAGAUCUUCGACAGUGGCUAUUAAGUGGGAGGUGGGUGGGAAGUGAAAUUCACCGUCAUCAGCCCCAGUUCAAAUCGGGUAUAAUUCGGCUAUAAGUCCCCUGCUAAAGAGAGGGUUUUUAAUGAGUUUAACACAUCGCCUAAAGGUGAGUGCUGGAAGAUGUCCGCGGAACUGAAUUGUACGAUCGGCGCCUGGUAAGGCUCGGCGGACACGGAUGCAUGUAGUUCAGAACCAGUGGCCGAAGAUGAAUCUAGGGGUCCGGUGACGCAGAUCCCACUCGAGGUUGGCUCUAUGUGCGGCUCCAACGCUGCUGAGUCUGCGGCUUCCGUGGCGGGGUUAAGCUUCCCGUCUUUGGAUGAUGCAAGCUGCUCCAGAUCUAGGGCCAGAGCGCUUAAGGGCGCAAUCUCCUGGGUAUGGUCCGAUGACAUAUUUAGAUCGUGUUCAUCACGGUGGCAGGGAGCAGCUGUGGGCUCAAAUCCGUCGAAGCUCAAGUCUCUGCGGAUAUCAACGAUGUAGUUCAAGCUUCCAAACCUGACCUGACAGUCAGGGGCGUGGAUGUCAAUCUGCUCUAGAUGGCCAAACGAGUUGGCCCGCGGUGGGAAGCCACCGAAUACGAAGAUCUGGCCAGGAAGAAAGACAUCCCCCCGGACAACGUUGUUGUAGAUGAUCGAUGGAGCCAUCAAACCUUCUGAUGAUGACACAACGGAACUCUCAAUGAAAGCACCAAUGUCGGUGUCAAAACCGGCGGAUCUCGGGUAGGGGGUCCCGAACUGUGCGCCUAGGGUCAAUGGUAACAGGAGUAAGGGGACACGAUGUUUACCCAGGUUCGGGCCCUCUCUAUGGAGGUAAUACCCUACUUCCUUCUUGAUUGAUCUUGAUGAAUAUGAGUAUUACAAGAGUUGAUCUACCACGAGAUCGUAAUGGCCAAAACCCUAGAAGUCUAGCCUAUAUGAUUCUGAUCAUGGUCCCUACGGACUAACCCCUCCGGUUUAUAUAGACACCGGAGGGGACUAGGGUUAUACAAAGCCGGAUACAGAGAAAGGAAUCUUCAUAUUUGAACGCCAAGCUUGCCAUCCACGCCAAGGAGAGUCCCAUCCAGACACGGGUGAGAGUCUUCGGUCUUGUAUCUUCAUAGCCCAUCAGUCUGGCCCAUGUCCAACAGGCCGGACGCCCGAGGACCCCUUAGUCCAGGACUCCCUCAGCAACCACAUGCUAAGAAGCCCAAGAUCCAAGAGGUACAUGAUCAUCAACCCAGUCCCAAGGUGUUAGAAGAGGGCCCUGCUCCCAUUCCUAUCAAUGUUAUGCAGAAUCUUGGUGCUUCUUUGGGCAUCCCGCCAGAGAAACUGAUAGUGGAGCAGCUUAUGGCUGAGCCCAAGAAGACUCACCACACCAAUGUGCCCAAUUAUAAGUGAAAUACUUUGUUUUAGUUCAGGGAGGUAGGCCCUUUGUCCUGUCAUUUAUUUUCUUUUGGGUUUCUUCUAUGUUCUAUCGAACUUGUGUGAGUGCUCAGUGGGUUCUGAGGAUGAUCUAAACUAUCUAUUGCAGUGUUCUGAUUAUGAUGUGUGCCAGUAUUAUUAUGUGAUACUAUGUAUGGCUCCUUAUCUUUCCAAGUUUUAUAAUGUGUGCAUCUGUUAAUAAAGAUUGGAAAGUACUCUGUUGGAAUGUUAGAGGGCUGAAUUCUGAAAUUAGACAAAGGGUUGUGAGGGAGUCCUGGAUUAGGGGGUGUCCGGAUAGCCGGACUAUACCUUUGGCCGGACUCCUGGACUAUGAAGAUACAAGAUUGAAGACUUCGUCCCGUGUCCGGAAGGGACUUUCCUUGGCGUGGAAGGCAAGCUUGGUGAUACGGAUAUGUAGAUCUCCUACCAUUGUAACCGACUCUGUGUAACCCUAGCCCUCUCUGGUGUCUAUAUAAACCGGAGGGUUUUAGUCUGUAGGACGAACAACAAUCAUACCAUAGGCUAGCUUCUAGGGUUUAUCCUCCUUGAUCUCGUGGUAGAUCUACUCUUGUACUACCCAUAUCAUCAAUAUUAAUCAAGCAGGACGUAGGGUUUUAUCUCCAUCAAGAGGGCCCGAACCUGGGUAAAACAUCGUGUCCCCUGCCUCCUGUUACCAUCCGCCUUAGAUGCACAGUUCGGGAACCCCUACCCGAGAUCCGCCGGUUUUGACACCGACAUUGGUGCUUUCAUUGAGAGUUCCUCUGUGUCGUCACUUUUAGGCCCGAUGACUCCUCCGAUCAACAACGACGAUGCGAUCCAGGGUGAGACUUUUCUCCCCGGUCAGAUCUUCGUAUUUGGCGGCUUUGCACUGCGGGCCAAUUCGCUUGGUCAUCUGGAGCAGAUCGAAAGCUACGCCCCUGGCCAUCAGGUCAGAUUUGGAAGUUUGAACUACACGGCCGACCUUCGCGGAGACUUGAUCUUUGACGGAUUCGAGCCGCAGCCGAGCGCGCCGCACGGUCACGAUGGGCAUGAUCUAGUUCUGCCGCUGAACAGUGCCCUGGAGGCCGCACCCGCAUCAGCUCCAACCCUUAAUUUGGAGCCAACUGCACCAAUUGAGGAUGGGUGGUUGGACACCGGCUCGGGGGCUGCAAUCUCUACGGCGAUCGAGCCGAACACCAGCCCUAUUCUCUGUGAAGCCCGUGACUCCAAGGAGCCGGACUCCUCUCCAGACUCCGAGCUCUCCGCGCCCCUACCGAUCGAACCCGAUUGGGCGCCGAUCAUGGAGUUCACCGCCGUGGACAUCUUUCAGCACUCGCCCUUUGGUGAUAUUCUGAAUUCACUAAAGUCUCUCUCUUUAUCAGGAGAGCCCUGGCCGAACUAUGGUCAGCAAGGUUGGGGUGCGGAUGAUGAAGAAAUUCAAAGCCCCCCCACCACCCACUUCGUAGCCACUGUCGAUGAUUUAACCGACAUGCUCGACUUCGACUCCGAAGAUAUCGACGGUAUGGACGCCGAUGUAGGAGACGAUCAAGAACCAGCGCCUAUAGGGCACUGGAAAGCCACCUCGUCGUAUGAUAUAUACAUGGUGGACACCCCAAAAGAAGGCAAUGUCGAUGGAACAGCAGAGGAUGACCCCUCCAAGAAGCAACCUAAGCGCCGGCGUCAGCGGCGCCGCUCUAAAUCCCGCCAAAGCAAAAAUGGUGAUUCUGGCACGGGAGAUAAUAACACCCCGGACAGCGCCGAAGACAACCACCUCCAGCAAGAUUCAGCACAGGAGGAUGGAGAAGCCAGCCCUCAUGAGAGAGCGGCAGACAGAGAGGUCGAGGACGAUAAUUAUAUGCCUCCCUCCGAAGACGAGGCAAGCCUCGACGACGACGAAUUCGUCGUGCCGGAGGAUCCCCUCGAACAAGAGCGUUUCAAACGCAGGCUUAUGGCCACGGCGAGCAGCCUCAAGAAAAAACAGCAACAGCUUAGAGCUGAUCAAGAUUUGCUAGCCGACAGAUGGACUGAAGUCCUCGCGGCCGAAGAGUAUGAACUCGAACGCCCUUCCAAGAGCUACCCAAAGCGCAGGUUGCUACCCCGAUUAGAGGAGGAAGCACCUAAACCUACAUCACCAGUGCAUGAUGCGGCCGACUGGCCACCCCAUGGCCGCGACAGAGAGGCCUCUUGGCCCUCCACUCAAGCCGCACCCCGGGCCGCUCAAAAAAUACCAAGGCACGGGAAAAUGGGCCAGACCUGCGAGAUAUAUUGGAGGACAAGGCAAGGCAAACAAGAUCGAUCUAUGGAUCGCGUGGGUGCCCCACGGCACGAGACGGUAAUCGUCACUUCGGAUACAGUAAAUCCGGCCAGGCCGAACACAGUAGACAAAGCUCGUUUGAGCUGCGUCGUGAUAUAGCCCAAUACAGAGGCGCCGCACACCCACUAUGCUUCACACAUGAAGUAAUGGGCAUCGAUCCCUCAAGGAUUAAACCCACUACAACGACCUUUAAAGGCGUCAUACCAGGUGUAGAGGCCAACUGUACAGGCUCAGUUACACUUGAAGUGGUUUUCGGAUCUCCGGAUAAUUUCCGAAGCGAGCAGUUAAUCUUCGACAUAGUCCCAUUCCAUAGUGGCUAUCACACACUGCUCGGGCAAACCGCAUUUGCCAAGUUCAAUGUGGUGCCGCACUACACAUACCUCAAGCUCAAGAUGCCAGGCCCUCGAGGAGUCAUCACAGUCAAUGGAAACACCGAACGCUCUCUCCGAACGGAGGAGCAUACGGCGGCUAUCGCAGCAGAAGUACAAAGCAGCCUCUCAAGGCAAUUCUCCAGUACGGCCAUUAAACGUCUGGACACCGUCAAGCGCGCCUGGAGUAACCUACAACAAGACCGCCUGGCAUGUUCCGAGCAAGCGUAGCAAUGCGGCCCCAAACCCAGCCCUCGCGAACUUGCGAAACCAGUGUUGCGCGUACAUAACUACGCUCUGGAAAUACCAUGGGCACAGGGGGAGGGGCACCAUCACGGCAUGCCCGAAACGCAGCUUAAAACGCACUAGGGGCUGCCGAUUUCUUAAUUUUCUCUUAUUUUCAGGACUCCAUUCUUCGGAAGGCUUAUCCGGUAGUACAAUUGCCGCACAAACUAUACAACCAGGGAAGCAGAAAGCUACGCCGCACUAUGGAACUCUAAGGUGGUCUCUAUAAUGAGCAGUAUACCUGUUUCACUUAACAUUCCGCAACUCGCCCCUGGAAAGGACAUGUUAAAUAGUCCCAUCUUUUGCUUAUUGCACGAUUUGUAUCGUUCUGCUUUAAUCGCAGCUUUUUUAAAUAAACAAUGCAUAGCUUCCGUCUAUUAUCGCAUUACUCUUUUUUAUGAAUAUAUGUUCAUUAAUGACAUGUUGCAUCCGUACACUUUGGUACGGCCAAUACGCCAGGGGCUUAAGUACCCCACAAUACGGUGUGAGAAGUCUGAACACUUUCACAAGUGCGGCACCUCGAACUUAUAGCAUUAUAUGCAUCGGCUCCGAAUCAUGUCUUGGGUCAAUAGUUGGGUUUGCCCAGCUCCUAUGUUUUGGUACCUUACGUUCCGUUAUAUCGGCUAAGGUAGCACUAGGAGAACUACUGCGAUUGUGCCCCAGUUGAGCUGGGCUAAGCACCUCAGUAGAGAAAGCUGAAACUGACCGUCAUGACGAGGCAAGAGCUGGUCGCUGUUCGAGAGGUUUUCGAGUCCCUAAAGACUUAUGCCGCUUAGAGCGAGGAGUCGGCUUUGUCCGGCCUAGGCGUGGAUAGCGCCCCGAACUCGGUCUUCCGAACACUAGGGGCUUCGCCGAAAUUUAAAAUUAUAGAAUUCUAUGGCUAAGUGAGAGUGUUCCAGCAUUAUAGUCCGAUUGCCUUGUUCAUUGUGUUGAGCGCCUCCCUCGAAGGACCCAAGAAUGGGAAAAAGAGCGCUCAUGUUUAUCCCGAACACCCCAACACUCGUGGCAUGGGGGCACAAGCCGACGACUCGCCAUCUCUCAAAUUUGAUAAACGGCCGCACAGAAGGUAACAUUUUAAAUUCAAAAAGCAUUUCUUAGCGCACAUGAACAAGAUUUCAGCGCACAGGACAAAACGAGCGAGUUUACUGAAAUAUUACAUCCCUGGAACAUUCAUCCGCCAUAAGGCGGGCACCCUUCAGAACGCCCUCAUAAUACAUCUCGGGCUUGCGAUGCUCCUUGCCCGGCGGUGGCCCGUCCUUCACAAGCUUCUCAGCAUCCAGCUUGCCCCAGUGCACCUUCGCACGGGCAAGCGCCCUACGGGCACCCUCGAUGCAUACGAAGCGCUUGAUGACUUUGAGCCUUGGAUAAGCCUCCACCAGCCACCUCACCAGCCCGAAGUAGCUCCCAGGCAUGGCCUUUCCAGGCCACAACCGGACUAUGAGGCCCUUCAUGGCCUGUUCGGCCACCUUAUGGAGCUCGACCAGCUGUUUCAGCUGGUCUCUUCAGGGCACCGGGUGUUCGGCCUCAGCAUACUGAGACCAGAACACCUUCUCUGUCAAGCUUUCCUCCUCGGCUCGGUAGAAGGCGGCGGCAUCCGACACGCUACGGGGCAAGUCUGUGAAUGCUCCUGGGGAGCUCCGGAUUCGGGUAAGUAACAAGUAAUUCACCUUUACAUGCUUGCUUUGCAUAAAGAAUGCCUUACCCGCCGCUAUCCUUUUUAUUUCCUCAACCUCCUGGAGGGCCUUCUGGGCUUCGGCCUUGGUAGACUUGGCAUCUUCAAUGGCCGCCGCGAGCUCAGACUCUCGCGUCUUCGAGUCAAGCUCCAAACUCUCAUGUUUUUUCCUGAGAGCCUGGAGCUCUUGCCGCACCUCGCCAACCUGCGUCUCAUGCUUCUCCCGCUCGGUGCGCUCCGUGGCCGCCCUAUUCUCGGCCUUGGAUAGCGCUUGCUUAAGGGUCGCCACCUUAGUUGUGGCCCCUACAAUAGCCACGUUAAUCCUGUCACUUUUUGCAAUUGCACCUUUCACAUAUUUAAAUCAGGUAUUUCUUACCUUCCUUCUCCUUGAGCUGCUGCUUGGCUAGGCCGAGCUCUCGCUCGGACCGCUCGAGGUUCUGCUUCAACGUGCCCACCUCUGCAGUCAGUGCGGCGGAUGCUAGCAGCGAAGCCUGCAUACGCAUAUUGACUUACUUUUAUUAGACUCCUGCGAACGUUAUUAGAUCCUAUAUUCGGCUUUUCUUUCCGAACGCCAAAUAGAGCAUCAGGGGCUACUGUCUAUGCGGUAAUAUUUUUACAUAUCUUUUACUUACCUCAAAGCCUGUUAGAAGGCUGGCACAGGAUUCAGUCAGUCCGCUCUUGGCAGACUGAACCUUCUGGAUCACCGCACUCAUAACAGUGUGGUGCUCCUCGUCGAUGGAGGCGCCGUUAAGCACCUCCAGCAAAUUGUCCGGUGCCUCCGGUUGGACGGAGGUCACAGGCUCGGUAGGCUUUCUCCUCUUGAAAGGAGGCUGCCUACCGGAGUCUGGAACCGUUAAAGGUUCCGGCGCGGUGUCCGGAUCAAGGCCGGACUUGGAGCCCUUGGGGGUUCUAUCCCCUUUACGCCUGGAGUCUGGGAGGUCGCCUUGCGGCGCCUCCAGGACCACCUCCUCCUGGCUUGGAACCUGUUGGGACGCCACCUCGGCGUCGUCCGUAGGGUGGGAGGAGGUAGCCAUCGGAAGUGAAUUCACAUCCGACGAAUCCAGGGAGCCGCUCGACGACUCAUCGAGCCCGGCCUUGGGCGGACUGCAUAAACAUGUUCGAUGUAAGGAAAAGCUGUGCAAUGGGGGAAUACUAUGAAUCACUCUGGUAUCCGGAUACUUACGAUCUCGCCAGGGGCUUGGCCCUGUGCGGCCACUCCUCUUUGCCGUCGUCGGCGUUGGUGGGGUAGUCCAGAGGAGGGGUCUUCCCCUUCUUGGACCCUUCGGCCUCCCCAGUUGGGGCGGCCUUCCUUUUCUUCCCUCCCCCCGCUGGAGGGGGAGAGGUCUCUUCUUCCUCCUCCUCGUCUUCACGGGAGGACUGCAUCUUGGAGUCGUCGGAUGAUGAAUUCGAGACCUCCAGGCGCCGGGCACUCUUUCGAGUCCCCGUGGACGUCUUCUUGGCCUUCCUCUCCGGCACCACAUAGGGUGCCGGAACCAGCAGCUUCGCCAAGCGAGCAUCCGCUGGGCCUUCGGGCAAAGGAGCCGGACAGUUGAUCUGUCCAGACGUCUCCCGCCAAUCCUGUCAAAGGUAAGGGAGCUUAGAUCCCGCAUGGAGUCAAACUAUGAAAAACUAAUAUCCUGUAAAAGGUAAAAAUAGCUUACCGCACGAGCGUGACACUGCGUGCUGAAUCCACGAUCCUCGGUAGCAGAUGCGGGGGCCUCGGCGCCCUUGAAAAGCACCUUCCAGGCAUCUUCGUACGUCGUGUCGAAGAGCCUGCUCAGAGUUCGGCGCUGCGCCGGGUCGAACUCCCAUAGGUUGAAAGCCCGUUGCUGACACGGGAGGAUCCGGCGGAUGAGCAUAACCUGGACUACGUUGACAAGUUUGAGCUUCUUGUCCACCAGGGUUUGGACGCAUGUUUGGAGUCCGGUCAGCUCUCCUUCUUUACCCCACGACAGGCCCACCUCUUUCCAGGAGGUGAGCCGCGUAGGGGGUCCGAAUCGAAACUCGGGGGCUGCGACCCAUUCAGGGUCGCGCGGCUCGGUGAUGUAAAACCACCCCGAUUGCCACCCCUUUAGGGAGUCCACGAAGGAGCCCUUGAGCCAUAGGACAUUGGGCAUCUUGCCCACCAUGGCGCCUCCGCACUCCGCCUGGGUGCCGCGCACCACCUUCGGCUUGACAUUGAAAGUCUUGAGCCAUAGGCCGAAAUGGGGCGGAUGCAGAAGAAAGCCUCGCACACGAGGAUAAACUCCAAGAUGUUGAGGACAAAGUUCGGGGCCAGAUCGUGGAAAUCCAGGCCAUAGUAGAACAUGAGCCCCCGGAUAAAUGGGUGGAGAGGGAAACCCAGUCCGCGGAGUAAAUGGGGGAGGAACACCACCCUCUCAUGGGGCCUAGGGGUGGGGAUGAGCUACCCCUCUUCGGGAAGCCGGUGCGCAAUGUCGUUAGACAAGUAUCCGGCCUUCCUCAGUUUUUUGAUGUGUCCCUCCGUGACGGAGGAUACCAUCCACUUGCCUCCCGCUCCGGACAUGGUUGGAGAAGGUUGAGGUGAGGUGUGCGGACUUGGGCGCUGGAGCUCGAGUGCGCGGAGAUGGAUAGGCAAAGGAGGAAGAAGGCGUGGAUGAAAAGGUGGAUCCUUAUCCCCUUAUAUGGGCCGACGCGACUAUGCGUCCCCACCAGCCUGCUAAAACUCGCUUAUCUCCCGAGCGCCGUAAUCAAUGGCGCGGUUGGGUUACCCACCCCGUAUUGAUGAGAAUCCCGGAGUAAGGGGACACGAUCUCUGCUUUGACAAGACGUGCCAAGGAAACCGCCUCGCUAAACGCGCUGAGGUGGGACAGUAAAACGAUUCGAAUAAAGACUUGGCCAUGGUGUGAUGUCACGCUACGGAAUAUGUCAGCAGAUUAGAUUUGUGUAAAUAUUAUUCUCUCCAUGGCAAUAUGUGGAAACUUAUUUUGCAGAACCGGACACUACCUUUGUGUUCAAAAUCUUCUAUGAAGUACUUGGAGGAGGAACCUGCCUUGCAAUGCCGAAGACAAUCUGCGCGCCGGACUCGUCGUCAUUGAAGCUUGGUUCAGGGGCUACUGAGGGAGUCCUGGAUUAGGGGGUGUCCGAAUAGCCGGACUAUACCUUCGGCCGAACUCCUGGACUAUGAAGAUACAAGAUUGAAGACUUCGUCGCGUGUUCGGAAGGGACUUUCCUUGGCGUGGAAGGUAAGCUUGGCGAUACGGAUAUGUAGAUCUCCUACCAUUGUAACUGACUCUGUGUAACCCUAGCCGUCUCCGGUGUCUAUAUAAACCGGAGGGUUUUAGUCUGUAGGACGAACAACAAUCAUACCAUAGGCUAGCUUCUAGGGUUUAGCCUCCUUGAUCUCGUGGUAGAUCUACUCUUCUACUACCCAUAUCAUUAAUAUUCAUCAAGCAGGACAUAGGGUUUUACCUCCAUCAAGAGGGCCCGAACCUGGGUAAAACAUCAUGUCCCCUGCCUCCUGUUACCAUCCGCCUUAGACGCACAGUUCGGGACCCCCUACCCGAGAUCCGCCGGUUUUGACACCGACAGGUUGUGAGAGCCAAAAUUGAAGAAAGCCAAUGUUCUGUUGUUUUCUUACAGGAAACAAUGUGUGAUUUCUUUGACCAAAGAUCUAUCAGGAAAUUUUGCCCCAAAAGAUUUGAUACCUUUGCUUAUUCACCCUCUGUGGGUGCUUCUAGUGGAAUUAUUGUGUUAUGGUGUUCUUCUGCUUUAACUGGUGCCUUAGUUGAAGUUCAAAGUUUUGGUAUUAUCAUAAAUUUCACCUCAGCCCGUAAUAACUAAAAAUGGACUUUGGUUAAUGUUUAUCGACCCUGACAUGGAGAGUUAAGAGAUUCUUUUGUGCACUAGCUGUAUCACAUUCAAAUCCCACAACAUGAUCUUUGGUUAUUCUUAGGAGAUUUUAAUUUUAUCAGAUAUGUGGAUAACGGAAAUAUGCCAGGGGGUGAUAUCAAUGAUAUGUUCAUUUUUAAUCAAAUUAUUGGACAUCUGGGUCUUAUUGAAUUGCCUUUGAAGGGAAGAUCAUACACAUGGUCAAAUAUGCAGGAAACACAUGUACUGGAAUAGCUAGAUUGGUUUUUUACCACACCAACAUGGACUGGGGAAUACCCAAAUACAAUGGUGUAUCCACUAGCUAAGACUAGCUCAGAUCAUGUUCCUUGUGUGGUCUCCAUCUCCACGUCCAUACCCAAAGGAAAUAUUUUUUUGUUUUGAGAAUUACUGGGUGGACAUGCCUGGGUUUAUGGAGUGUGUUUAGCUUUCUUGUUCUGCUCCCACAAAAAAGGCAAAUCCAGCUACCAUACUAACUGAAAAAUUCUAAAGGCUAAGUACUAAUCUCAAAAAAUGGCACACAGGUCUAUCAAGGUUAAAACUACUAAUGAAUGCUUGUAAUGUGGUUAUCCAAGCUUUUGAUAAUUUGGAAGAGCAAAGACCCUAUCUAGGCCAGAAUUCAACUUCAAAAAGAUUAUCAAGUUGCAUCUAGAAGAGCUUCUACAUCUUUAGUAUAUUUACUGGAAACAAAGAUGCACCAUCAGAUGGAUUAAAGUGGGGAGGAGAACUCCAAGUUCUUUCAAGCAAUGGUGACUAAGAGGUUUAGAAGAAAUACAAUUUCCAAUUUAGUUAAUGAUUAUGGUUUGUUAUUGUCCUCCCACAAUGCUAUGGCUGGACUUCUUUGGUCUUCAUAUAAAGAUAGAGUGGGGAUUUCCUGUGGGGUUGACAUGUUGUUUGAUUUGGAGGAUUUGAUUCAGCCUGUCCUUGGGCUUGAGAGUCUGCCAGGGUCUUUCUCUAAAGAAUAAAUAAAUGAGGUAUUGAAGCACUUACCACAAGACAGAGCACCAGGAUCAGAUGGUUUUACUGGGUUGUUUGUAAAGAGAUGUUGGCAUAUAAUUAAGGAUAAUUUCCUCAAUUUAAUUACUGACUUCUAUGAAGGAAGAAUUACCCUCCAGAGUAUAAAUGGGUCCUUGGUCACACUCAUCCCAAAAAUUAUAUCUCCUAAGGGGCCAAAUGAUUAUAGGCCAAUCUCUCUCACAAACACUUGCCUCAAGUUCCUCACUAAACUCCAGGCAAAUAGGUUGCAAAAAUUUAUUCUUAAAUGCAUCCAUAAGAAUCAAUAUGGUUUUCUUAAUUCCGGGUCCAUUCAAGACUGCAUUGCAUGGAUUUUGGAAUAUAUUCAUUAGUGUCAUCAAUCUAAGAGACCAAUUCUCAUCCUCAAGCUUGAUUUUGCUAAAGCCUUUGACACUGUUGAACAUGAUAUGAUCUUGCUCAUGUUGAAAUACAAAGGUUUUGAUGCAAAAUGGUUGGUUGGAUUAAGGAGCUCCUUUCUUAUGUAUCUUCUUCCAUCCUCCUCAAUGGUGUUCCAGGCAAGCAGUUUAUUUGUAAAAGAGGUGUAAGGCAAGGAGAUUUUAACGCCCUCGAUGUGGCUAUAUCUCCUACGUGUCGAAGCACGACUUAGAGGCAUAACCGCAUUGAAAGCAAUGUCGCAAGUACGGUAAUCUUCACAACAACCCAUGUAAAUAGAUAAUAAGGGGAAAGAUACAUAGUUGACUUACACUCACCACGUCACACAAAGUACAUAAAUAAAAUUACAAUCAUCCAAUCACUCAUGGUCCGACUAUGGUACCAAAAUAAAAGAAGACUACCCCAAAUGCUACAUAGAUCCCCGAUCGACCCCAACUUGGCUCCACUACUGACCAACUAGAAAACGGAACAACAUAAAGAACAUGAUCUUCAUAGAGCUCCUUCUUGAGCUUGGUUGCGUCAUCUGCACGGUUCAACAUCACCUUCAAACUGGUUUUGGAAGUAUCUGUGAGUCACGGGGACUCAGCAAUCUCACACCCUUGCGAUCAAGACUAUUUAAGCUUAUGGGUAAGGUAAAGGUAUGAUGUGGAGCUGCAGCAAGCGACUAGCAUAUAUGGUGGCUAACAUACGCAAAAGAGAGCGAGAAGAGAAGGCAAAGCACGAUCGUGAAACUAUGAUCAAGAAGUGAUCCUAGAACAAUCUACGUCAAGCAUAACUCCAACACCGUGUUCACUUCCCGGACUCCGCCGGAAAGAGACCCUCACGGUUACACACGCAGUUGAUUCAUUUUAAUUAAGUUAAGGUUCAAGUUAUCUACAACCGGACAUUAACAGUUUCCCAUCUGCCCAUAACCACGGGCACGGCUUGCGAAAGUUCAAAUCCCUACAGGGGAGUCCCAACUUAGCCCAUGACAAGCUCUCACGGUCAACGAAGGAUAUACCUUCUCCUGGGACAUUCCGAUCAGACUCGGCAUCCCGGUUCUACAAGACAACUUCGACAAGUUAAAACAAAUCCAGCAACACCGCCCGAAUGUGCCGACAAAUCCCGAUAGGAGCUGCACAUAUCUCGUUCUCAGGGCACACUCAGAUGAGCGCUCCAUACAACUAAAACCAAACCUCGAGUUUCCCCGAGGGGGCGCCGCACAGGACUCUAGUUUGGACCACCACUCAGAAGAGCACUGGCCCGGGGGGGUUUAAAAUAAGAUGACCCUCGGGCUCCGGAAACCCAAGGGAAAAAGAGGCUAGGUGGCAAAUGGUAAAACCAAGGUUGGGCAUUGCUGGAGGAGUUUUAUUCAAGGUGAACUGUCAAGGGGUUCCCAUUAUUACCCAACCGCGUAAGGAACGCAAAAUCUGGGAACAUAACACCAAUAUGACGGAAACUAGGGCGGCAAGAGUGGAACAAAACACUAGGCAAAAAGGCCGAGCCUUCCACCCUUUACCAAGUAUAUAGAUGCAUUAAGAUAACAAGAUAAUAUAAUGAUAUCCCAACAAUAAACAAUGUUCCAACAAAGAACGAUCUCCAAUCUUCACCUGCAACUAGCAACGCUAUAAGAGGGGCUGAGCAAAGCGGUAACAUAGCCAAACAACGGUUUGCUAGGACAAGGUGGGUUAGAGGCUUGGUUCUACAAUAUGGGAGGCAUGAUAAGCAAGUGGUAGGUAUCGCAGCAUAGGCAUAGCAAAAGAACGAGCAACUAGCAAGCAAAGAUAGAAGUGAUUUCGAGGGUAUGGUCAUCUUGCCUGAAAUCCCACAAGGAAGAAGAAACGAGUCCAUGAAGAAGAUAAACGGAUGUAGCCAACGGAUC